UGAAAUUUGAUUUAAAGAACCUUGAUAUUUAGUUGUAAAUCAGAAAAAUAGAAAUUAAUACAUAAAAUCUUUUUUUCUUUAUGUAUCUUUUUAUAUCGAAAUCAUUUUUUCUUAAUUUUUUUUUUUUUUUAAUUAGAAAAGUUGAGAUAUACCUGUAAUAUUAAGUAUCUGAAGGUUGAGGCGACUCAGUCCGUGGUCGUUUCUGAAGUUUGCUACACGUAAAUAGAAAACAAACCCAUUCAGUUCUGUAAGUUGCAGACAGGUAAUAAUAAGUAUAUAUGUGGUCGAGAAGCAACAUGAGCUCAGUAGUUAUAAAAUAAAACAAUGCCAAUGGAAACUCGCAUAUCAAAUCAGUAAUAUACCUCAGGUUAUAAAUGUAGUAAUGCUGAUGGGUUUGAUAAUUGUGGGGAAGUCCUCUUGAUCCAAAUCUUCAUGAUAAUAGAGAACAACAUCAAUGACCUGCAAAGACACUAAUAACCAAAAUCAAAAGCAAGAGAACAACAACAACAGAGAAGUAGAAACUAGUAGCUCACCUAUGAGAUUCAGUUCUUUAAGUUGCAGACAGGUAAUAAUAAGUUUAUAUGUGAUCGAGAAGCAACAUGAGCUCAGUAGUAAUAAAAUAAAACAAUGCCAAUGGAAACUCGCAAAUCAAAACAGUAUACCUCAGGUUAUGAAUGUAGUAAUGCUGAUGCUACAUGAUCCUUCUUCUUUUUGAUAAUUGUGAGGAAGUCCUCUUGAUCAAAUCUUCAUGAACUAUAGAGAACAUCAAUGACCUGCAAAGAAGAGAACAACAACAGAGAACAACAUCAAAGACCUGCAAAGACAAAAUCAAAAACAAGAGAACAAACAACAGAGAAGUAACCAAGAACAAACAUACCUCCUCCAAUCAAAAGGUCUGAAACUUCCUUGUCUGCAGAUCCAAAAUCGUAUAUGCAUAUAUACACACACCAAUGAGAUUCAGUUCUGUAUGUUGCAAACAGGUAAUAUCAAUUCUUUAUGUGGUCGAGAAGCAACAUGAGCUAUCAAAUAAAACAGAUGCCAAACUCGCAAAUCAGAUCAGUAUACCUCAGGUUAUAAAUGUAGUAAUGCUGAUGGUACAUGAUCCUUCUCCUUUUUGAUAAUUGUGAGGAAGUCCUCUUGAUCAAAUCUUCAUGAUAAUAGAUAAGAACAUCAAUGACAAAGACAAUGUAUAUAUACUAAUAACCAAAAUCAAAAACAAGAGAACAACAACAACAGAGAAGUAGAAACUAAUAGCUCACCAAGAACAAGCAUACCUCCUCCUAUCAAAAGGCCUGAAAAACCAUAUAAGAAUCUUAAGACCAACAUUGGCUUCCAUCAAUACGCUUAUGAUAUAUAUAAAGGAGACAGAGAGAAGCAAAUACGUGAAUCUUAAGACCAACAUUGGCUUCCAUCAAUACGCUUAUGAUAUAUAUAAAGGAGACAGAGAGAAGCAAAUACGUGAAUCUUAAGACCAACAUUGGCUUCCAUCAAUACGCUUAUGAGAUUGUAAUUCCAAACAAACUGUAUCAAUCAUAUACUCUUAUGAGACUGUAUUUCCAAACAAACUGGACGCAAAUCAAAUCAAAUCAAUUGUAAUUCCAAAAGGCCAACAUGAUUGAUGAACUAAAUAGUAUCACAAAUUGGCUUGCAUCAAUCGUAUACUCUUAUGAGAUUCAGUUCUGUAUGUAGCAGACAUAAAAGUUCUCAACUUCUAAGACACAAGACAUAAAAACCAGACCAUAUGCAGACAGAGGAACAAGAAGAGAUAGAGCGGUACCUUGAAGGGAAAAGAGGAAGCAAGAGCACCACCAUGAGGACGAAGCAGAGGUUAGAUAGAUCCAAAAACGAACCAGAAGAAGAGAGAUCAAAAGCCUCGAUCAUCACCACCACGUCUCAAGCCUCAGCACCCUAUGAUCAUCAAACUAAAUUGUAUAAAUAAUAAAUAAUAAGAGAUUCCUGUUUUUGUAUUUUACAAUAUUGAGUAACACAACAUGGUGGAAGCAAGAGCACCACGUCUCAUGAGGACGAAGCAGAGGUAGAUAGAUCCCAAAAGCCUCGAUCAUCACAACCACGUCUCAAGCCUCAGCAUUCUAUGAUCGCCACCACGUCUCAAGCCUCAGCACCCUAUGAUCGCCGUGUUGCAUAUCUCGAUCAUCAACGAGAGGAAAGCUAUAAAGUUUGAAGCUUUUUCACCGAAGAUGAAUCAGAGAAUCGAAGGAGAAGAGGGAACGAACUUAAGAGAUUGAUUUGUAGGGUUUAGAAAGAAGAAGAAGAAAGAACGGAGAAGAAGAAGUGAGAAACAGAGAAUUUUGAUUUCUCGAUCUCGGUUUGAGUUGAGAGAAUUAAAGAGUUAAUUUUUAAUAUUUAUAAGCGAAAUUAAUUAAGAGGUUAAUUAAAAGAAAAGGAAAUUGACAACGGUUAUAUUAAUAGGAGUGUAAGGAAAUCAAUACCGAGAUUUUGUUUCUGUUAAAUUUUCUUCAUCAUAACGGUAACAAUUUAAUUUCAAUAUGUAAAACGUUUUGAACCUUUUUAAUUUUAAAAGAGAAUUUGGCAAAAAAUAUAUUUUUUUAAACCGUUAGUUAUGUUAUUAACUAAUUGAACUAUUUUAUUGACCUAUUCUUGAGGAGCUAUUUUACUAAUUGUAAAUUAUCAGACCAAGUUUUAUAUAAUAAGUUUCUCCAUUACAUUAGGCAUGACAACGGCUACGGUUUGUUGACCAUCAAUUACGGUUAUAAAUUUUCUUUAACCAUAACUUUAACCUUUAUAUAUACGGUUAAAACGGUUACGGUUAUAUACGGUUAUAGUUAAAUCCGGUUACGGUUAAAUACGUUUACGGUUAUUUGAUGAUUAUAAUAUAGAUAAUCAUAUAUAUAAAAGUAAGGUUUCACUCUCUACUUAUUGGUGGAAAAAUAUUUAAGGCUUAAUUUUUUUUUUUUAAAUAAAUAAAGAAAUGUUUAUGACAAUCAUUCAAUAAAAAAUUUAAUUACACUAUAAGUUAUAAUCAAAUGGCAAAGAAGAUAAAAGAACUUAAUCAUAUAUCAUUCAACAAAAUAAAUAAAUGUUUAUGAUAAUCAUUCAAUAGAAAAUUUAAUUACAGUAUAAGUUAUAAUCAAAUGGCAAAGAAAAUAAAAGGACUUAAUCAUAUAUCAUUCAACAAAAUAAAUAAAUAAAUAAAUGUUUAUGACAAUCAUUCAAUACAAAAUUUAAGUACACUAUAAGUUAUAAUCAAAUGGCAAAGAAAAUGAAAGUACUUAAUCAUAUAUCAUACAACAAAUUUUAUAAGGCUUAUUGGUGGAAAAUUAUUUAAAAUCAUAUAUAUAAAAGUAAGGUUUCACUCUCUUUAUUGUUCCAUUUUGUAUUUAUUUUUAAAAUAUAAUAUUUAUUUUUAAUUAAACCAAAAAAACAUAUUUAAUCAUAUACAUUAAUCCAUACUUUAGAUUCACACUUUACUACUAAAAUUAAACUGAAAAUUAUAUAAAUUUCCAAAGACUAUUGGUUUUCUUUAUUGAAUUCCAAUUAAACACACUAUAAAUUAUAAUUAUAACUCCUCUAAUUAAAUUAUUUUAAAAAUUUAACUUACAUCACUUCUUAUCAUAUAAAUAGUCAUUCUCACAUCCUUCUCUACCAUAUCUCAUAUCUUCAUUAUUCUCUUUGUUUUUUUUUUAAAAGUUCUUGCAUGGGGUGAAAACUCAUUUAAAAUAUCAUUGUAAGAGUUUGAUUAAUUAUUUAGUUUAAACUUUUGUUUUCAAUUUUAUUUAUUUUUUGUUUUUAUGUAUUUCUUUAUGUCUUCAUUUUUUUAUAUUUUUAAAUGUAAUACAUAUGUAUAAUAAUAUUUUAUGCUUUUUUUUUUCGUCAAACAAAUAAUUAUAUUUGAUAAUUGUGAAAAUCAUAAUACAAAUGUUCUGAAAGCCAUGGAGGCGGGUUCAAAAAAUCAGAAUAAAAAGGAACCAUAUUACAACCAUAAGAAGCAAGCACAUGAGCCACUUUGUUACAAUGUCUAUUACAAAAUUCAAAAGAAAUAUUGGAGAACUUAGUAGCCCACACAAUAAUAUUUUAUGCUUAUAAGAAAAUCAAACUAAAGAAACCAUCUUCAUUAUUUUACAUUGGAUGUUUGUUUCUUUCUCACAUAUUCAUGUAUAUUUAUUUUAAUUUCAAAAGUAUGUAAUUUUUUAACAAAAUAAACUUUUUGUUAUAUAAUUAUCAAACCAAUUUGUAAGACAUUCUUUUAAGAAUAAUGAUCCUUAUAUUUAGUUUGUGAUUCAACAUGUAAUAAUAUAAACAACAUAAUAAUUUUUGUUAACUUUGAAUUUUAUACUUGAUUUCCUAUAUAAAAAAAAAUUUCAUAUUCAAUUUUCUAUCUAUUAUAUAUACUACGACGAUGAAAAAUAUAAUUAAACCUAGAGAUAUAGCUUAAAUUAAGAGGAAUAUAAAAACAAAUUAAAAAUAAAAUUAUUCUUUGGGAAUUUUUUAAGGUUUCUCCNNNNNNNNNNNNNNNNNNNNNNNNNNNNNNNNNNNNNNNNNNNNNNNNNNNNNNNNNNNNNNNNNNNNNNNNNNNNNNNNNNNNNNNNNNNNNNNNNNNNUAUUUUUAAUUAAACCAAAUAUCUAACACAUUUAGUCAUAUACUUUAAUUCAUACUUGAAAUCCACGCUUUACUAUUAAAUUGUAACUUAAAUUAUAUAAUCUUUCAAUUGACUAUUUGUUUCCUCCAUUCAAUUUCAGUUAACACACUAUAAAAUAUAAUUAUAACUCCUCUAAUUUAAUUAUUUUAGAAUUAUAACUUACAUCAUAUUUUAUCCUAUAAAUAUUCAUUGUUACAUCCUCGUCCACCAUAUCUGAUAUUCUCAAUAUUUCUUUAUUUAAUUUAUAAUGUUCUUGCAUGGGUUGAAAGCUCAAUUAAGAUAUCAUUGUAAGAGCUUGAUUAUAUAUUUGGUUAAAACUUUUGUUUUCAAUUAUAUUUCUUCUUUAUUUUAUGUACUUCUUCAUUUUUUCAUUGUUUUAUACUAUUAAAUAUAUAAUACAUAUGUAUAAUAAUAUUUUAUGGCUAUAAGGAAAUUACUUUAUCGAUGGGAUUCAAAACUAUUGAUUUCUGACCAUCGCACCAUAAGAAAAUCAAGCUAAAUAAACCAUCUUCAUUGUUUUACUUUAUAUGUUUUUUUCUUUCUCACAAAUUCAUGUAUAUUUAUUUUAUUUUCAAAGUAUGUAAUUAUUUUAACAAAAUAAUUUUUGGUUAUAUUCAAACCAAUUUGUAAGACAUUGAAAUAAAGAAAAAUUUUAUACACAAAUAAAGGUAAUUUGUGUGUAUAUUUAUAAGUUUACACACAUAUAUGGAUAAAUUUUAACAUUUUUAGUGGUUGUUUUGAUAAAGUUUGAAAAGGGGGUAAAUUUAAAAAGUGGUAUUUUUAAAAGGGUAUUUUCUAAAUUCUCCCAAAAUCAUUCCUAUUUUUAUCAUUAACAAUAUUAUUGUUUUAUCAAAAAAUACUUAAAAGCACAAAAAAAAUUACUAUCAAAAUUGAACAAUUAAUCAACGAAUAAAUUCAAAAGAUAUGGAUGUAUGCUUCUAUUGUAUGAUUUAAAUAAAUAAAAUGUAAAAAUGUCAUAAACAUUAAAAUUUAUUUAAUCUAUUUUUAUAAGUAAUAAAUAAAUUAAAAUAAUUAAAUAAAUAUACAACAACCCGCGCAUAUGCGCGGGAAAUUACCUAGUAUAUAUAAACAAAGUUUUAUAUUUUCUUACCAUAUCAAAUAAUGUUUAUUUUCAAUAUGAAAUAAAGGUAUUUAUAUGAUUCAAAUAUUUAUAGUAAAUUAGUUAAAAAUUAUUUUUAAUUAAUUAAAAACAACUACAAUUAAAUAAAUUAAUGGUUAUGAACCUAAAAUUAUUUAAAAUAAAUUAUUUUUGAUUUGAAUAAUGAAAAUGAGCAGUAGAGUGAAUUAGAAUUACUAGUUGACACAUUAAACCAUUUAAAACAUUAUUUUAAUGAAAUAAUUUUUAUUAAAGGUUAACCAUAUGGUUAUGGUUGAUAACGGUUACUUUUUAUAACCAUGACUAAUUUAUUUUUACGGUUAACGGUUACAAAUUUUAACUGUUUUAUACGGUUACGGUUUAAAAAUAGUUCAGUUACGGGUAAAUUACGGUUAAUAUUAGAUUUUGGUCAUGCCUACAUUAAACUUAAAGUAAUGGAACGAUAAUAUUGUGGCUUUGUAAACUUAUUUUUCAUAUUUUAUACCGAAUUAAAGUAUCAAGACCGACAUAUAAAUUAUACAAAGAUUGGCGAAUGGCACAGAGUUAUUAGCAUACCGGAUUUACUGAUAUUUGUAAGUUUUUAUUUAAUCUAAUUAUUUAAUUCGAUUUAUUAUUUGAUAUUUGUAAUUUUUAAUUUAUAUAAAUAUUCAAGUUUUUGUAAAAAAUAAUAAAAUUUUAAUUAUUAAAAAACUUAUUUUACCAAAAUCAUCGAGAAUUUAUGGACAAGAAAAACAAAGCAAAACUCGUAAUCGCUCAUAAUUAAUUGUCGGCUUCAUCGUCCUUUUGCUUCUUCUUCCACCAAAAUUAACUUUUUCCAGUAACGAAGCUAAAUUAAAAUUCGUUAUUAGGGUUCUGCUCCUACUACGCCGUAAUUUUGAUUCCUUUAGUUUUUUGAUUUCAGGGUCGAUAUGGAGAUUGAGAGAAACGUUUCAGUCCCUGGUAAGAAGAAUCUAGUUAAAGUCGAGUUCAAGCUUGGGACAGAGAGCUACAUCAUUGAUUCAUCAAACAAGGGUGAUACUGUAUUGGACCAAUUGGUUUCGAUGAAAGUUGAAAGUAUGAAGAUACUUAAAGAUUUUAUCACAAAGCAUAAUGUUCCAGAUGAUGAUGAUGUCCCCGACCAAAUCUUGUCUGAUGAUGAAGAAGGUGAUGAUGUUGCUUCUCCUGUAAUAUGUCCUGUGAAACCUAAGAAGACAAAGAUUUGAGUUCGUUUUUAGUUAUCACUACUGUCUUGUUAGCUGGUGAUUUGAUCUUGAACCUUUGUCAAAUUUUGUUAACAGUUUUGGGGUUUUCUAGAGAGAAUUAUGAGGUUUUGGAUCUUGCUAGUUGGAAUUUAGAAAUGGUGUUACUGAGUUUAUUACUGGAGAUAGGUGAUUGCAUUGCUUGAGAAGAGCAAAUCCAUUGAAUGAUGCAGUUUCUUAUCUCUGACGGAUAUAGUUGAGUUAUUCAAUAGCUCUACAUGGAACUUCAUCGAGACUCUUAGAACACUAAAGGGAAAUGCUUGACUCGUAUUAUGGUAUUAGGGGUAUUGGACAAGAAACGUAGAUGAUACAUAUUUCCUGUGAGUCUUGUGUUUAGAUAUUGUUUAGUGUUGUGUUCAAUUGAGUGGUAGACUUUGAACCUCUGUUAAUUUUGCUGUUUGUGCAACAGUUUUGUUUGUCUAAGAAGAAUAUGAUAACUUGGGUAAAACUAUGGAAAUGGGGUUUCUAAAUUCUUACUUGGAGGUUGACUGUGUUGUGAAGAGCAAAGCAUUGAGAGUUCAUUAUCUUGUUGAAGAGCUUGGGAGCUUUAGUGAGACUGGAAGAGCUUUAAGAGAACCAGAGGAUAAUGCUUGACUCGAUAUACUUAACAGAACCAUGGUAUUAAUGGAAUUAGAUAAAUGACUGAUAGGUUCUGGUUUAUUGGUUAGUGUUUGUGUUUAUGUGCUCGAUUGAUUUGGGAACUAGUAAAGUCUCUCCUGGUUAAGUUGCGUUUGCUAGCUCAGUAAGUGUAACUUACUAGAAUUGCAGAGUUGGGUGGUUAGAAAAGAUACAUGACUGAUAAGCCAUGACGGAUAGUGUUUGUUUAACUUACUAGAGUUGCAGAGUUGGGUAGUUAGAAAAGAGAUACAUGACGGAGAACCCCUGGUUUAUCUGUAUUGGUUAGUCACUUACCGUUAGUGUAUGUGUUCAUGUGUGCUUAGAUAUUGUAGGACCUUGCAAAGUGUCUCUCUGUAAAGAUGUGUUUUGCCAGCUCAGUAAGUCUUACUUGUUAGAGUUGAAGAGUUGGGGUUGGUAAGAAAAGUUCUCGUGUUGUUCCUGUGUUAAUUCACUGCAAUAUAAGAGUUUCUAGGACCUGAUGAAUUAGGACCAAUGGAAGACAGAGAUGGUUUGGGCAAUAGCCAAGGCCAGAGACAUGGGCUAAUGAAUAGUUCACCGAUGAUCUUUAAAGCUGUUUCAUAAAUCAAUUUAUCAAAGAAAGUUGGAUUUUGUUCACAUUCCUCACGAUUAGUCUUUCUAUUUUGUUGAUAAUUUGACAGUUACUAUAGUUAAGUAUCCUCUCAGACUCAGAUCGUAUAUUUGUGAUGUGAUACCGAAGUUCUGCGAAACAACCAUUUUAUACAGAAUUCAAUGUCUGCGAUAAAUAGAAACCUCACUAGUUGAAACGAAAAUCACAGAUAAACAAAUUUUGGAUGAAUGAAAACAGCAGAAUCAUUCCUAUAUCAUUCACAAUCUUAACACCAACAUUGUCUUCAACUCAUCAAAGCAUCGCUAAGCUCCAGCCACGCCACGAAAUAAAAAGAGAAAAACAGAUGGACUAGCACGCAUUAACCAUUACUACUCCAUCUUCUCGAGUUCUGACAUCCUUUCGAUGAUCGCCUGCAAGUAAAAAUUUGUUGCCAGCAUAUAAAAAGUUUAGCGGUUGAGCAAAGGAAUGUGUUAGUGAAAGAGGAAAGCCUGAAACAAAAAUCCAUACCCUUUUGCUUGUUUCUUGGAGCUCCCCAGCAAGAAUGAAUUCAUCGAGUAUCAGAUACACCUUUUAAAUGAAUCACAGAGAAUUGAUAGCAAGUAUUAGAGUACAAAAACAGAUCAAAUCUAGACACACAGAAGCAUCCACAUAGUUAGACACAAAUGGGGAAUGCAGAUAUAUAUUUAUCUAACGGGUCAUGAUGGUCAGCUUAGAAUUGGGAUGAAUACAAUGAGACGAGAACGAAGCUAGCUUUUGAUUUUAGCAAACACAAGCUUUCAUUUGAUAGACCGUUAGAAGCAUCUUGGAUAAAAAUCUUCAGAUUACCCUUAAAAACAUUUACACUAAACUUGUUCAAAGCACCUAAGUAGAGAAAUGAUGAAGCAAAAAUCCCAGGUUUAUUCGAAAUCAGUGGUUAUACAGCAUCAUAAGCUAAACUUUAAGGGUUAAAGGAUCCAAAGAAGCAGUUUUUGAGAAACUAAAUAUAAAAAGAGUAAGAGCAACAAAAGAGGUUUGGUACCUUGUGGAAAUUAAACACCAAAUCUAGCUCACAGACAUUGCUGAAGAAAUGGUCCAAAAUCUCCACAAACAAAUGGAUACACUCCAGGUAAGCCAACUCAUUUUCGGUUAUAUCCACGCACACGGAGAAAAACAAUCUAGUAUAUUACCUUGUGUGUUCUAAACUGAAAAUAGUUGCAGAACAGUUUUCUCAUUCUAGCUCACAGAACAAUAUUGGUUUCUUAAUCACCAUUUCAUGUCUCAUAAGACACAUAUCUACUUCUCUAUACAGAUAUUGAAUGAGUUGGAUUACUUCUACCUCAGCUUAUAACAACAUCUCAAACAACAACUAAUACCUCAACCAGAGAAACUUCGCAGAUUCGAAUUCGACAGAGCAAUGCUCCUAUACUGUGCUAGUAUCAACAGCCCUAAAUAUCAUAUACAAAACCUGGAUUAAGAAUCAUAUGCAUUCCUACAAUCUUGGUUCUUACUCACCUAAUUUUCAUGUCUCAUUAAGGUUUUUUCAAGUUCUCUAUAAAGAUCUUAAUACUAGAAAACUCAGCUCCAAUGCCUCAACUGAAGAAAUUUUUCAUAAUAUCUACAAAAGCAAUGGUUUUUUCAAUCAAAUCUACCAUAUAGUCUCUGGAGAACCCUAAUCUCAAUUGCGACUUUUAUGUUUAAGAUUGAAAACUUUUAAACCAAAAUCGGCUUUGUUGGUUAAAACCGAUCUUUCUAGAAUUUUAAGUUUUCGAUUUUGAACCAAACGUAAAAAAGUCCGUCGAAAAUACAACUCCUUACUUGAAAUCAUACCGUUUGUGUUCAGCCUCCAUAACUCCAUAGAGAGAAAAACGAUUAGCUUAGCUUCUAUCAUGAUUUAAAAAUUAUAUUUGAAUACUAAUCUUUGUGUUCAUGUUAAUUCAUCAUCGUAUAAUUUUUCUUUCAUGUUCGUGUAGUGUUUAUUUAGGAAGCAAGAUAAACAAUUCCUACAGCUUUGUCUAACCUUACUUCACCUUUUGAAUCAGUUAUAUUCUCUAAGUUUAUUUGUUUUAUUUUCAUUGGAAUAAUUUUCUAAUUAUUACGUUUGCUAAUUAUUGAACAUGAUCUUAUAAAAGUCGUUACGUCGGGCUUGGAAAACAUGGAAAUAUCUUGUAAACUUAAAAUAUCAUGUGUCGCCAAUAAAUAAUUAUAUAAGUAUGUAGAUUGGAAAACAUCAACAAAUCUCAUUGAAUAACACAAAUCAGUAUGAAAGAGUUCGAUGUUAGGUCCGGUUUGUUUUCAACAUAUUUAAACUUUUCAAAUUUUGUAUGUUAUAACUUUUCAAAAUCAAAAAUUUACUUAAAAGUUAUAACUUUACUUAAAUUAUAAAAAACCUUAAACCUAAGCGUUAAAUUUUUUACAAUACGUGAUAGCAUGUUGAACUUACACACCACUGACGGACCACAAAGGGACUGGAUGCUCGGCCCGAUUUGUUUUCAACGUAUUAAAAUUUAACACUUAGAUUCAACCAAAAAAAGAUCAUAUUUAAUUAUUAAAAAUUAAAACUAUUUUUACUUGAAAUUUGAAUUUAAAAACCUUGAUAUUUAGUUGUAAAACAGGAAUAUAGAAAUGUAAUUCAUAAAAUAUUUUUUUCUUUAUGUAUCUUUUUAUAUCGAAAUCAAUUUUUCUUAAUUUAUUUAAUUUUUUAAAAGUUAGAAAAGUUGAGAUAUUACCUGUGAUAUUUAAGAAUCCUGAAGGCUACAGCGACUCAAACGGUGGUCGUUUCUGAAUUUUGCUAAACGUAAUACAAAAACAAACCCAUCAGCGCAUUUCAUAAUUGUCAAAAAAUCAAAUUACUUUGAUAAAACUAAAGACAACUAUCACGAACCUGCUUAUAAAUAUUCUCCUAGUCUCUAAUGACUGAAGAAAACAGAGGAUCGAUGGAGAUCAUCAUAAAGACAUUCAUCGAGCCUUGAGUCACCAUCGAACCUUCUCCACCCUGAAACAAAAGCAUAAGACUCAGUUCAAAACAAAGAGAUGAAUGAUAAAUAUGAUACGUGAAUCACAAGGCUAUAACAUGUUUGAUGAUGAACUAAAAAGUACACAAAAUGGCUUGCAUUUGCAUCAAUCCAAAAUCGUAUAUGCAUUUACACACACCUAUGAGAUUCAGUUCUUUAAGUUGCAGAGAGGUAGUAAUUAUUCUAUAUGUGGUCGAGAAGCAACAUGAGCUCAGUAGUAAUAAAAUAAAACAAUGUCAAUGGAAACUCGCAAAUCAAAUCAGUAUACCUCAGGUUAUGAAUGUAGUAAUGCUGAUACUACAUGAUCCUUCUUCUUUCUUGAUAAUUGUGAGGAAGUCCUCUUGAUCCAAAUCUUUAUGAACUAUAGAAAAACCUGCAAAGAAGAGAACAACAACAGAGAAGAACAUCAAAGACCUGCAAAGACAAUAUAUAUAUACAAAUAUAACUAAAAUCAAAAACAAGAGAACAACAACAACAGAGAAGUAGAAACUAAUAGGUCUGAAACAAACAAACCUCCUCCUAUCAAAAGGUCUGCAACUUCCUUGUCUACAGAUCAAUGGAUUUGUCAGAAAACCAUAGCUAACACUGUAACGCUCACAUACAAAUACAUAUAACUCUAACAGUUAAGCAACAGAGGAAUUCUAACACAGAAAUACACAAAAAAUCAUAUAAGAAGGAGACAGAGAGAAGCACGAAUACUCAUUACAAAACCAAAGAGAGGAAUACUAACCAAAUACGUGAAUCAUCAUAAGGCAAACAUUGGCUUCCAGAUUCAAUGAAGACACAAAUCGAAUCAAAACAACUGUAAUUCCAAAAGGCAAAAGAAUGAUGAUUGCUACAUAAUAAACUCCUAAGACACAAGACCAUAUGCACAGAGAGGAACAAGAAGAGAUAGAGCUGUACCGUGAAGGGAAAAGAGGAAGCAAGAGCACCACCAUGAGGACGAAGCAGAGGUAGAUAGAUCCCAAAGACGAACCAGAAGAAGAGGAACCAAAAGCAGAGGUUAGAUCGCCACCACGUCUCAAGCCUCAGCAUUCUAUGAUCGCCCUGUUUGCAUAUCUUGAUCAUCAAACCGAAUCUCACAACAACAAAUCAACCAGAGAAAAGCUAUAAAGGUAGAAGCUUUACACCAACGAUGAAUCAGAGAUUCGAUGGCGAAGAGGGUUAUGCUUUGUUGUUCGACAAGAGAGAACGAACUAAGGAUAUUGAUUUGUUGAAGAGAAAGAAGAAGAAGUGAGAGAAACAGAGAAUUUUGAUUUCUCGAUCAAAAGGAAGAACGGAGAAGAAGAAAGUUUGAGAAGCUUUGAGUUGUUUAACAAAAAAGAAGAAGCUUUGAAUUGACAGAAAGAGUUUUUUUAAUUAAAAGAAAAGGAAACUGAUGAGAUCACAAUCACAACGGUUAUAUUAAUACCGAGAUUUUGUUUCUGUUAAAGUUUCUUCAUCACAACGGUAACAUUUUGAACUUGUUAAUUUUAAAAGAGAAUUUACUGAAAAAUAUAUAACUGUAAUUUAUAAACCUUCAGUUAUACUAUUAAUUCAUUGAAAAAUCCUAGAACUAUUUUAUUGACCUAUUCUGGAGGAGUUAUUUUACUAAUUAUUUCAUAAAAAAUGUUAAUUAUCAGACCAAGUUUUAUAUAAUAAGUUUCUCCUUAACACUACGCAUGACCACGGUUACGGUUUAUUAACCAUCGAUUACGGUUAUAAAUUUUCCUUAACCAUAACUUUAACCUUUAUGUAUACGGUUACGGUUACGGUUAUUUGAUGAUCAUGAUAUAGAUAAUAUUAUAAACUUUUUCCGGUAACGAAGCUAAACUAAAAUUCAUUAUUAGGGUUCUGCUCCUACAACGCCGUAAUUUUGAUUGCUUUAGUUUUUUGAAUUCAGGUUCGAUAUGGAGAUUGAGAGAAACGUUUCAGUCCCUGGUAAGAAGAAUCUAGUUAAAGUCGAGUUCAAGCUUGGGACAGAGAGCUACAUCAUUGAUUCAUCAAACAAGGGUGAUACUGUGUUGGACCAAUUGGUUUCGAUGAAAGUUGAAAGUAUGAAGAUACUUAAAGAUUUUAUCAUAAAGCUUAAUGUUCCAGAUGAUGAUGAUGUUCCCGACCAAAUCUUGUCUGAUGAUGAAGAAGGUGAUGAUGAUGUUGCUUCUCCUGUAAUAUGUCCUGUGAAACCUAAGAAGACAAAGAUUUGACUUCUUUUUUUAUUUAUCGCUACAUGUCUUGUUAAAUCUUGAACCGUUGUCAAAUCUGACUGUUUGUGUAACAGUUUUGGGUUUUCGAAGGAGAAUUAAGAGGCUUUGGAUCUUGCUAGUUGGAAUUUAGAUAUUGUGUUACUGAGGUUUUACUGUAGAUUGGAAUUCAGAUACACCUUUUAAUUGAAAUCACAGAGAAAUAGUAGCAAAGUAUUAGAGUACAAACACAGAUCAAAUCUAGACACACAGAAGCAUCCACAUAGUUAGACACAAAUGGGGAAUGCUUUUAAGAAUGCUGCAUAUAUAUAUUUGAAUUACACACUUUUAUUGGGAUGAAUACAAUGAGACGAGAACGAAGAUAGCUUUUGAUUUUAGCAAACACAAGCUUUCAUUUGAUAGACCGUUAGAAGCUUCUUGGAUGAAAAUCUUCAGAUUACCAUUAAAAACAUUUACACUAAACUUGUUCAAAACUUCUAAGCAGAGAAAUGACGAAGCAACAUCCCAGGUUUAUUCGAAAUCAGUGGUUAUACAACAUCAUAAGCUAAACUUUAAGGGUUAAAUGAUCCAAAGAAGCAGUUAGAGAAACCAAAUAUAAAAAGAGUAAGAGCAACAAAGGAGGUUUGGUACCUUGUGGAAAUUAAACACCAAACGUAAAAAAGUCCGUCGAAAAUACAACUCCUUACUUGAAAUCCUAAAGUUUGUGUUCAUCCUCCAUAACUCCAUAGAGAGAAAAACGAUUAGCUUAGCUUCUAUCAUGAUUAAAAAAAUUAUAUUUGAAUACUAAUCUUUGUGUUUCAUGUUAUUCAUCAUCAUAUAAUUUUCCUUUCAUGUUCGUGUAGUGCUUAUUUAGAAAGCAAGAUAAACAAUUCCUACAACUUUGUCUAACCUUACAUCACCUUUUGAAUCAGUUAUAUUCUCUAAGUUUAUUUGUUUUAUUUUCAUUGGAAUAACUUUUUUUCUUCUAAUUAUUACGUUGGCUAAUUAUUGAACAUGAUUUUAUAAAAGGCGUUACGUUGGACAUGGAAAACAUGGAAAUAUCGUGUAAACUUAAAAUAUUAUGCGGCGCCAAUAAAUAAUUAUAUAAGUAUGUAGCUUGGAAAAAAUCAACAACUCCCAUUGAAUAUCACAAAUCAGUAUGGACCACAAAGAGAGUUUGAUGCAAGGUCCUGUUUGUUUUCAACCAAUUUAAAUUUAACACUUAUAUUUUUUUUAAAGAAAAACAUUUUGUAUGUUAUUGUUAAAAAUCAAAACUGUACUUAAAAAUUAUAACUUUACUUAAACUAUAAAAAGACCUUAAAACCUAAGCGUUAAUUUUUUUACAAUACGUGAUAACAUGUUGAACUUAUACACCACUGACGGACCACAAAAGGACUGGAUGCUCGGCCCAAUUUGUUUUCAACGUAUUAAAAUUUAACACUUAGAUUUAACCCAAAAAUAAAAGAUUAUUAAUAAUUAAAACUAUUUUGCUUGAAAUUGAUUUAAAAAAACCUUGAUAUUUAGUUGUAAAUCAGGAAAAUAGAAAUGAAAAAAAAAACAUAAAAUAUUUUCUUCUUUAUGUAUAUUUUUAAAUCAAAAUCAAUUGCUCUUAAUUUAAUUUUUUAUGUAUAUUUUUAAAUCAAAAUCAAUUGCUCUUAAUUUAAUUUUUUUUUUAAGUUAGAAAAGUUGAAAUAUACCUGUUAUAUUUAAGUAUCCUGAGGGAUGAGGCGACUCAGUCCGUGGUCGUUUCUAAAGUUUGCUACACGUAAGUAGAAAACAAACCCAUCAGCUCAUUUCAUAAUCGUCAAAAAUUGAAUUACUUUGAUAAAACUAAAGACAACUAUUACGAUUUUACGAACCUGCUAAUAGCCUAAUACCUCUCUGUUCCUCUCUUCAAUAUAUAUAAAUCCUCCUAUAAAUUUUCUCCGAAGGUGUCUCAGUGGCUUGAUAGCCUUAGAUUCAAUAUCUUGUGACAUCGAUCUUGACUGAAGAAAACAGAGGAUCGAUGGAGAUCAUCAUAAAGACAUUCAUCGAACCUUGAGUCUCCACCCUGAAACAACAACAUAACCAAGUACACAACAUUCAUUAUCUAACACUGAAUACACAAAACCAUAUAAGACGACAUACAGAGUAAGACAGAGAACCACAAAUACUUUGUUCAAAACAAAGAGAUGAAUAAUAUAUAUAAUACGUGACUCACAAGGCUAUAACAUGUUUGAUGAUGAACUAAAAAGUACACAAGAUGGCUUGCAUUUGCAUCAAUCCAAAAUCGUAUAUGCAUUUACACACACCUAUGAGAUUCAGUUCUUUAAGUUGCAGACAGGUAAUAAUAAGUCUAUAUGUGGUCGAGAAGCAACAUGGGCUAUUAAAUAAAACAAUGCCAAUGGAAACUCCCAAAUCAAAUCAGUAUACCUUAGGUUAUGAAUGUAGUAACACUGAUACUACAUGAUCCUUCUUCUUUUUUGAAACUUGUGAGGAAGUCCUCUUGAUCAAAUCUUCAUGAACUAUAGAAAACAACAUCAAUGACCUGCAAAGACAAUGUAUAUAUAUACUAAUAACCAAAAUCAAAACAAAGAGAACAACAACAACCGAGAAGUAGAACUUAAUAGCCCACCAAGAACAAGCAUACCUUCUCCUAUCAAAAGGUCUGAAAAAUCAUAUAAGAAUUCUAUAUGUGGUCGAGAAGACAGAGAGAACCGAGAUUCAGUUCUGUAUGUUGCAAACAUGUAAUAAUAAUUCUAUAUGUGGUCGAGAAGCAACAUGAGCUAUUAAGUAAAACAGAUGCCAAACUCGCAAAUCAGAUCAGUAUACCUCAGGUUAUGAAUGUAGUAAUGCUAAUGGUACAUGAUCCUUCUCCUUUUUGAUAAUUGUGAGGAAGUCCUCUUGAUCCAAAUCUUCAUGAACUAUAGAGAACAACAUCAAAGACCUGCAAAGACAAUGUUUAUAUACUAAUAACUAAAAUCAAAACUAAGAGAACAACAACAAAAGCAGAGAAGUAGAAACUAAUAGCUCACCAAGAACAAGCAUACCUUCUCCUAUCAAAAGGUCUGAAAAACCAAUGGAUUUGUAAUAUAUAACUAAGCAAAAGAGGAAUUCUAACACAGGAAUACACAAAAAAUCAUAUAAGAAUACUCAUUACAAAACCAAAGAGAGGAAUACUAACCAAAUACGUGAAUCAUAAGUCCAACAUUGGCUUCCAUCAAUCGUAUAUACAUAUACACUUAUGAGAUUGUAAUUCCAAACAAACUGUAUAACACUGGACACAAAUCAAAUCAAAUCAAUUGUAAUUCCAAAAGGCCAACAUGAUUAAAGAACUAAAUAGUAUCAAAAAUUGGCUUCCAUCAAUCGUAUACUCUUAUGAGAUUCAGUUCUGUAUGUAGCAGACAUGUCAUUCUAUGUGGUCGGGAAUACGCUUAUGAGAUUCAAUGAAGACACAAAUCGAAUCAAAUCAAUUGUAAUUCCAAAAGGCCAAAGAAUGAUGAUGAUUGCUACAUAAUAAACUCCUAAAAAUUGGAUAAAAGUUCUCAACUUGUAAGAGACAAGACAUCAACAACAAGACCAUAUCCAGCACAGAGGAACAAGAAGAGAUAGAGCGGUACCUUGAAGGACAAGAGGAAGCAAGAGCACCACAGAGGUUAGAUCCCAAAGACGAACCGGAAGAAGAGGAACCAAAAACAGAGGUUAGAAUCCAAAGACGAACCAGAAGAAGAGGAACCAAAAGCCUCGAUCAUCACCACCAUGUCUCAAGCCUCAGCAUUCUAUGAUCAUCAAACCGAAUCUCACAACAACAAAUCAACCAGAGAAAAGCUAUAAAGGUAUAAGCUUUACACCAACGAUGAAUCAGAGAAUCGAAGGCGAAGAGGGUUAUGCUUUGUUGUCCGACAAGAGAGAACAGAGAACUAAGGAGAUUGAUUUGUAGGGUUUCGAAGAAGAAGAAGAAAGAACGGAGAAGCGUUGAGUUGAGAGAAACAGAAAAUUUUGAUUUCUCGAUCAAAAGGAAGAACGGAGAAGAAGAAGCGUUGAGUUGAGAGAGAAACAGAGUAAAUUUUUAAUAUUUAUAAGCAAAAUUAAUUAAGAGGUUAAUUAAAAGAAAAGGAAAUUGAUAAUAUCACAAUCACAACGGUUAUAUUAUUAUGAGUUUAAGCAAAUCAAUACGAGAUUUUGUUUUUGUUUCGGUAUUAUUACAUUUAUUAUACAACGGUCAUCUUUCCUAAUUUCAGCAUUUUUGAACCUUGUUAAUUUUAAAAGAGAAUUUAGCUAAAAGAUAUAAUUUGUAAACCGUAAGUUAUAAUAUUGAUUCAUUGAAAAAUCCUAGAACUAUUUUAUUGACCUAUUCUUGAGGAGUUAUUUUACUUAUUGUUUUAUGAAAAAAAUGUAAAUUAUUCAAAACUAAGUUUUAUAUAAUAAGUUCUCCAUUACACUUAAAAUAACAAACAAAAAUAUUGUCGUUUUGUCGACUUAUUUUGCAUGUUUUAUACCAAAUAGAAGUAUCGAGACCGGCAGAGAAUGUAUACAAACAAUGGCGAAUGGCACGGACAGGGCCGAGGAUUGAUAUAAAUGAGCGUGCCGGGUUUGCUGAUUUCUCGGUUUCGUGCGGAAGGGAAUAGAUCCAAGGUUGUGGAAUUGGUUGAUUCGACAAGAAGAAAGAUGGUUGGGAUGUAUUUAUUGACGCUAAAAUUAUGGUCUGACUGUUUUGGGGUUCAGUGGUGGCCUUCUUGUAAUUGUGGGUUACAUUGUUGGUUGCAAUGUGUGGCUCCUUAGAGAGUAUCCUGUUAUAUGUGUGCUAUUUUGUUUGUAUCUCGUUUUAAAGCACCCCAUUAUGUUUGUUUUCUCAUUAGAUUUUUACGGAUAUUUGUUGCAUUUACUAGGUUAUGAGCUCGCGCGGGGAACUGUUCAAAUUGAACAUGGUAUUUUUCCUCUUUAUCGGCUUUUUCUUUUACAUUAUAUUUCCAAUGAAAAUAUUGUAUUGGUUGCUUUUACUAUUUGGUAUUUUAUCAUGUCCUCUAGAAGCUUCUUUUUGGAUCAUAUGCAUCAUCCAGUUUGUUAAAAGAUUCCUGUUUUUGUAUUAUACAAUAUUGAGUAAGACAAAAUUGUAUCUAAUCAUCACAUUCUAUAAAAUGAGAUACAAAUGCAGAACAUGUGUAAAAUUAACACAAAAAUAACAUGUAACUAAUUAAUGAUCAAGUCGUUUCAUGUAGGUUCAAAUUUGUGGCGAAGUGAUCAUAGGGUUUGGGUGUUGCAUCUAAAAUUUAGAUGGCUUUUGUGUCGUGCUGCUCACUUUAACUUCAAAAUAAGGUAUAUGCGAAUCUUUGAACAAUUCAUGCUUUUUUUUACCAAACUGGUAAUGAACCAAUUUAUAUUACAUAGUAAGCGAUUCUAUUCAUUCAUUGAGUUUCUGACUAUUCAUUCUCUUCCGUCCGGUUUCGUCGUUAUCAACAAAAGCUAACCUCCCCUCAUAGCUUAUCAACAUGUCCCUAUAAAUACCCGAUGGUAAAUCUAUCAUACCAAAUUUUUCUAAUCUAACAUGAAAACUUAUUGUAACCCAAACAUUCUUAUGAUAAAUAUCUACUACAUAAUAUAUAACACCCUUGAUGCAUCGACCAAACGUAUUGUAGUCCGAAUAAUGGUUAUGGUUGGUUUUGACUGUUCUCCAUGAUUCUUGACCUGAUCCCAAUGUUAACACACGACACACUCCAGAACUUCUUAAAUAAGGUAUGCACAUUACUUUGUGUUUACCUUCGACCGGAUCAUAUCCUAAAAAAACUCUUACAUAACACCAGCUCUUUUCGGGUUUCGGCAAGGUUAAUAACUCUUUCUUGCUAGGGUUCCAAACUACAGGGGCUCCUGAUACUUGAAAACAGAUCAAGCCAUGGACAGAUUCCGUAGGGGGCAAGUAACAUUGUCCUUGCGGGAAUUUCAUAUGGUAACGAUAAAUAGGCUGAGAACAAGAGUAAGAAGAGUUCUGAUUAUCUUGAGGGAUUGAGGAAACAAAAAGCUUCCCAUCUGCUAUAACGCAGACAAGAAGACUCGGCUGCAGUGUUGAGAAGAACCGAGUCUCGAAAGAGCGGAUGAAAUAUGAGUCGGUGGUGAUUGAUGACCAUAGCUUCGAUACGCAACGGAAUCUCAAAACAUGAUCUCGAAGGCAGCCUUAAGAGUAUUUCUGAGUUUAGAUCUUUAGGAAAGGACGACGGAAGUUUCAAUUGCUUUCUUCUUUUUCGGUUGCCUUUUCUCUUCUUCUUUUUUGGUUUCUCCAUCUUUUUUUUUUUUUGUCAAAACCCUAAAUUUGUUAGGCUGUGUAGCGCAGACCAUUCAAAGUCACUAUAUAUUCUGCUAAUUGUUUGUGGUAGCACUUAUCUAAUAUAUUAAAAGAGUAGUCAUCAGUCUCAAGUUCGCUCUCAAAAACGGAUUACCUUUUUACCCUUAAUGAAAAAUAUAUUUCGUCUCCAAAAAGCCGACUUUUAUGUUUAAGAUCGAAAACUUUUAAGAUCGAAAACUUUUUAAGCCGGCUUUGUUGGUUUAAACCGAUCUUUUUAAAAUUUUUAAGUUUUCGAUUUUAAACCAAACGUAAAAAAGUCCGUGGAAAAUAAAACUCCUUACUUGAAACCCUACCGUUUGUGUUUAGCCUCUAUAACUCCAUAGAGAGAAAAACGAUUAGCUUAGCUCUAUCAGGAUAAAAAAUUUAUAUUUGAAUACUAAUCUUGUUUAUAAUUUAGCUUCAUGUUUAUAAUUUUUAUUUCUUGUUCGUGUAGUGCUUAUAGAAAGCAAGAUAAACAAUUCCUACAGUUUUUUCUAACCUUACUUCACCUUUUAAAUCAGUUAUAUUCUCUAAAUUUAUCUGUUUUAUUUUUCAAUUUUGGUAAAUUUGGAAUAACUUUUUUCUAAUUAUUACGUUUGCUAAUUAUUAAAGAUGCUCUUAAAAAAAGAAUUUCCGUUGGGCUUGGAAAACAUGGAAAUAAUAGAAAAUAUCCUUUAAACUUAAAAAAUCUUGCGGCGCUAUGUAGCUUGGAAAACAUCAACAACUCCCAUUCUAUACAAAUCAGUAUGGAUCACAAAGGGAGUUGGAUGCUAGGUCUGGUACGUUUUCAACAUCUUUAAACUUAACACUUAGAUUCUUUAAAAAUAAAAACAUUUUGUAUGUUGUUGUUCAAAAUCAAAACUUUACUUAAAUUAUAAAAAAACCUUAAAACCUAAGCGUUAAUUUUUUAUAAUACGUGAUAGCAUGUUGAACUUACACACCACUGACGGACCACAAAGGGACUGGAUGCUCGGCCCAGUUUGUUUUCAACGUAUUAAAAUUUAACACUUAGAUUCAACCCAAAAAAAAAAUUAUUAAAAAUUAAAAGUAGUUUUGGUUAAAAUUUGAUUAAAAAACCUUGAUAUGUAGUUGUAAAUCAGGAAAAUAGAAAUGAAAAACAUAAAAUCUUUUCUUCUUUAUGUAUAUUUUUAAAUCAAAAUCAAUUGCUCUUAAUUUUUUUUUUUUUUUUUUUUAAGUUAGAAAAGUUGAAAUAUACCUGUGAUAUUUAAGUAUCCUGAGAGCUGAGGCGAGGCGACUCCAUCCGUGGUCGUUUCUGAAGUUUGCUACACGUAAUACAAAAACAAACCCAUCAGCUCAUUUCAUAAUCGUCAAAAAUUCAAAUUACUUUGAUAAAACUAAAGAGAACUAUCAUACGAACCUGCUAAUAUAAUACCUCUGUUGCUCUCUUCAAUAUUCUUCUAAAUAUUCCUCUUAUAAAUAUUCUUCUANNNNNNNNNNNNNNNNNNNNNNNNNNNNNNNNNNNNNNNNNNNNNNNNNNNNNNNNNNNNNNNNNNNNNNNNNNNNNNNNNNNNNNNNNNNNNNNNNNNNNNNNNNNNNNNNNNNNNNNNNNNNNNNNNNNNNNNNNNNNNNNNNNNNNNNNNNNNNNNNNNNNNNNNNNNNNNNNNNNNNNNNNNNNNNNNNNNNNNNNNNNNNNNNNNNNNNNNNNNNNNNNNNNNNNNNNNNNNNNNNNNNNNNNNNNNNNNNNNNNNNNNNNNNNNNNNNNNNNNNNNNNNNNNNNNNNNNNNNNNNNNNNNNNNNNNNNNNNNNNNNNNNNNNNNNNNNNNNNNNNNNNNNNNNNNNNNNNNNNNNNNNNNNNNNNNNNNNNNNNNNNNNNNNNNNNNNNNNNNNNNNNNNNNNNNNNNNNNNNNNNNNNNNNNNNNNNNNNNNNNNNNNNNNNNNNNNNNNNNNNNNNNNNNNNNNNNNNNNNNNNNNNNNNNNNNNNNNNNNNNNNNNNNNNNNNNNNNNNNNNNNNNNNNNNNNNNNNNNNNNNNNNNNNNNNNNNNNNNNNNNNNNNNNNNNNNNNNNNNNNNNNNNNNNNNNNNNNNNNNNNNNNNNNNNNNNNNNNNNNNNNNNNNNNNNNNNNNNNNNNNNNNNNNNNNNNNNNNNNNNNNNNNNNNNNNNNNNNNNNNNNNNNNNNNNNNNNNNNNNNNNNNNNNNNNNNNNNNNNNNNNNNNNNNNNNNNNNNNNNNNNNNNNNNNNNNNNNNNNNNNNNNNNNNNNNNNNNNNNNNNNNNNNNNNNNNNNNNNNNNNNNNNNNNNNNNNNNNNNNNNNNNNNNNNNNNNNNNNNNNNNNNNNNNNNNNNNNNNNNNNNNNNNNNNNNNNNNNNNNNNNNNNNNNNNNNNNNNNNNNNNNNNNNNNNNNNNNNNNNNNNNNNNNNNNNNNNNNNNNNNNNNNNNNNNNNNNNNNNNNNNNNNNNNNNNNNNNNNNNNNNNNNNNNNNNNNNNNNNNNNNNNNNNNNNNNNNNNNNNNNNNNNNNNNNNNNNNNNNNNNNNNNNNNNNNNNNNNNNNNNNNNNNNNNNNNNNNNNNNNNNNNNNNNNNNNNNNNNNNNNNNNNNNNNNNNNNNNNNNNNNNNNNNNNNNNNNNNNNNNNNNNNNNNNNNNNNNNNNNNNNNNNNNNNNNNNNNNNNNNNNNNNNNNNNNNNNNNNNNNNNNNNNNNNNNNNNNNNNNNNNNNNNNNNNNNNNNNNNNNNNNNNNNNNNNNNNNNNNNNNNNNNNNNNNNNNNNNNNNNNNNNNNNNNNNNNNNNNNNNNNNNNNNNNNNNNNNNNNNNNNNNNNNNNNNNNNNNNNNNNNNNNNNNNNNNNNNNNNNNNNNNNNNNNNNNNNNNNNNNNNNNNNNNNNNNNNNNNNNNNNNNNNNNNNNNNNNNNNNNNNNNNNNNNNNNNNNNNNNNNNNNNNNNNNNNNNNNNNNNNNNNNNNNNNNNNNNNNNNNNNNNNNNNNNNNNNNNNNNNNNNNNNNNNNNNNNNNNNNNNNNNNNNNNNNNNNNNNNNNNNNNNNNNNNNNNNNNNNNNNNNNNNNNNNNNNNNNNNNNNNNNNNNNNNNNNNNNNNNNNNNNNNNNNNNNNNNNNNNNNNNNNNNNNNNNNNNNNNNNNNNNNNNNNNNNNNNNNNNNNNNNNNNNNNNNNNNNNNNNNNNNNNNNNNNNNNNNNNNNNNNNNNNNNNNNNNNNNNNNNNNNNNNNNNNNNNNNNNNNNNNNNNNNNNUAUGCUUUGUUGUUCGACAAGAGAGAACGAACUAAGGAUAUUGAUUUGUUGAAGAGAAAGAAGAAGAAGUGAGAGAAACAGAGAAUUUUGAUUUCUCGAUCAAAAGGAAAAAGAGACGAGAAGAGAGGGUUGAGAAGCUUUGAGUUGUUUAACAAAAAAGAAGAAGCUUUGAGUUGAGAAGAAGAGUUGUUUAAUUAAGAGAAAAGGAAAUUGAUAAAAUCACAACGGUUAUAUUAAUAUGAGUUUAAGCAAAUCUAUACCUAGAUUUUGUUUCUGUUAAAUUUUCUUCAUCACACACAACGGUAACAACUUAAUUUUGAUAUGUAAAAACAUUUUGAACCUUGUAAUUUUAAAAGAGAACUAGAUUUGGAUCCGCACAUACGUGCGGGAUAUAUUUGUGAAUAUAAUUAUUUGAUAUAAUCUUUAUAACUCAUAUUUACAACGAUUUGGUUUCAUCAAACUUCGGAACAUUUGUAAUAAUAAUGGUUUCAUCAUAAUAUUUGGAUUGAUACGAAGACAGAUCCAGAUAUUAAACUAAUGUAAUCACUUAUAUUUUUAGCAAGCUAUUAAACUAUUAAAUCAGAUAAAUGUCAAAAUAUCAAACUUGCCAAACCGAAUUACCUAAAUUGUCAAGGUGGACGUAUUUGAUGUUUUUACCAGUAAAAAGUCUACCCCAUGAAAGCCACAUGAGCAACAUUUACAUUCUUCUCGUUUGAAUUUGCAAAAAUUCGUAGUUAGCAUACAUUUUGCUAAAUUUUCUAAUUUAGACAUAAUACUCAUAUCUUACGUUUGGAUAUUCUCAAACUCUCUUAAACUUUAAAAUUAUCAUCUAAAGUAGAUAUUUACCCGUUCAAAAGUUAGCGCAUAUUCAAAUUAAGUUCUGAGAUUCGAAUAUAGAUAAAAAAAACUAUUUAGAUUGUUAUACAAAAUUUAUCUCUCAUACAUCUUAUCAUGAAUAGUUUGGAAAUAUUUUUCCGUUCCCAUUUCAUAUUCACUGUUUCCCGUUCAGAUAUUGGCAAGGUAAUGUUCGUAAUGUUUCACACUCUACGUACCUUCAGAGUUAUAUUUUUAGAUAUAAUUAUUUGAUAUAUCUGUUAUCUAUAUUAACAUUUUAAAGCAGUUUUUGCAAUAAAUCCUAAAUUUUCAAACUAUUUACAAAAAUGCCACUGCAUUACAGUAUCUUUAAAAAUAAAUGGAAAAUAAUAAAAAUGGAAAUACAUCAAUAUUUAGAAGAUUAAAAUUAUAGUUCUCCUAUCAUAUUUUUUGAUUUGAUUUUUUAAUUUUUUUUUGAAUCAUUAUAUAACACAUAAGAUUAAUAAAAUCUAAUUUUGUUUUUCUAUAUAUUUUGUGAUUCGAAUUUUAAAAAAACGGAUAUAUAUAUAUAUAUAUAUAUAUAUCACUCAAUUAAUAUAAAAAGUAUGUGUUCAACAUCUUAAAUCCGCUAAAAUAUUAGAGAAUGAUUCAAAAUCAUAUUAUACAUAUGAUCAUAAUAGAUUUAAAUCUGAAUGAGCAGAAAGUUUCACUUAAUAAGCAUCCAAACUUUAAAAUUUGUAUAUCAAUUCAUUCGAUUUAGGUGAAUUGGGUAAUGUUUAAAAUAUGUUUCUUUUGAAAAUAUAAUUUGUUUAAAAUAUGUUUCCUUUGAUUGAUUUCACUUAAUAAGCAUCCAAACUAUAAAAUAUGUUUACAAAUACACAAUUUCUAAUUUAAUAGGCCUCAUUUUAUGGUAACAAAUUUAUUAUGAUUUCCAUGAAUCUGUGUUAGUUAUUAGAUUUGAUUUUUUUAAAAUAUUUUAAAGCAUAUUUAUUUGAGAAAUUGAUACAAAUAACCUUUUUAUGAUACCCUCUUUUAAAAAUAUCCUCUUUUUUUACCAUUUUCAUUUUUGCCCUCUCUUAUAUUUUAAUGGCCAUUUUACCCCUAUUUGAAAGAAUAUUCUUUCCCAAAGGAAGGAAUAUUCCAUCCAAAAAUUUUCCCCCCAAAUAUUUCCCGCCAAAAACUUUCCCGCCAAAAUUUUCCCGCCAAAAAAGUUUCCGAGAAAAAUUUUCCCGCCAAAAAAAUUUCCGCAAAAAAUUUCCCGCAAAAAAAAAUAUUUUUUCAAAAUUUUCCCGCCAAAUUUUUUAAAGGGUUUACAAGAUUUUUUAAAGGGUCUUUUAAAGGGUUUACAAGGGUUUUUAAAGGGAUUCACAAGAGUUUUUAAAUGGUUUUUAAAAGAUUUGUAAUGGUUUUUAAAGGGUUUUAGAAGCCUACAAAGGUUUUCAAAUGGUUUUUAAAUGAUUUACAAUGGUUUAUAAAAGUUUUUAUUAGUUUAUAACAGUUUUAAAAGGAUUUACAAGGAUUUUAAAAGGUUUUUAAAAAUUUACAAGGAUUUUUAAAGGUUUUUUAAAAGGAUUUAAAAGUGUUUUUAAAAGAAUUUAAAAGUGUAUUUAAAGGCAUACAAAGAUUUAAAAAUAGCUUCAAAGGAUUUACAAGAAGUUUUAAAGGGUUUUAGAAGUUUACAAAGGUUUUUGAAGGGUUUACAAAAGUUUUUAAAGGUAUUACAAGUUCUUUAAAAUGGGUUUUAAGGAUUUACAAGGGUUUUUAACGGGUUUUAGAAGUUUACAAAAGUUUUUAUUAAAUGAUUUAUCACGGUUAUAAGUGGUUUAAAGGGAUUUACAAGUGUUUAUAAAUGUUAUAAAAUGAUUUACAAUGGUUUUAAAAGGUUUACUCAAGUUUUGAAAGGUUUUGGAUUACUUUUAAAAGAUUUACAACGGUUUUUAAAGGAUUUUUUAAGGGAUUUAUAAAUAUUUACAAGGUUUUUUUAAGAAAUUGCGGAAAAAUUUUGGCUGAAAAUUUUUGGCGGGAAAAUUUUUGUCGGAAUUUUUUUUGGCGGGAAUUUUUUUUUGGCGGGAAAAUUUUUUGUCGAAAUUUUUUGACGGGAAAUUUUUUUCCGAAAAUUUUUGGCGGGAAAAUUUGGCGGGAAAUUUUCCGGAAGGAAUAUUCUUUUUGUUGGAAUAAUAUUCAUUUUUUCAUCAUGGGUUAUAAUAAAAGAGGGUAUUUUGAAAAUGAGCACCUAGAGAGGGUACUUGUAGAAAAUGGUAUCAUAAUAAAGGUUAGUUGUAAAAAUCUCCCUUGAUUAAUUUCACUUAAUAAGCAUCCAAACUAUAAAAUAUGUUUACAAAUACACAAUUUCUAAUUAAACAUGCCUCAUUUUAUGGUAACAGAUUUAUUAUGAUUUCCAUGAAUCUGAGUUAGUUAUUAGUUUUGAUUUUUUUAUUUUAUUUUAAAGCAUGUUUAUUUUAAUUGAAAAUAUAUUUUGCUGUCUUCAAGAUAUUUGAAAAUUUUAAUUUAUAAUUUAAUAAUGCUUAAACUUAAAAGAAUUUAAUUGAGUAUAAAUAUUUAUAAUAUUUUCAACUUUACAUGUAGUUGAUAUUUUACAACUUUACAUAUAAUAUUUUAAAACCUUUUAACAGAGUAAAUAUUAAUAAUACCUAAACUUUUAUAGAAUUUAAAUAUUUAUAGUAUUAUUAUCUUUCCUUGGACCUAAUUUAUUUUAAACGUUUAUUUACCUAAUUUAAACUGUUUACAUAUAUACAAUUUAAAAUACUAUACAUAUCAGUUUAUUUUAAAAGUUUCGAAAUUUUUUAAAUUAAAAUGUUUUGAAUUGUAUUAGUUUAAAUUAGUUAAAAUAAACGUUUAAAAUAUGUUUUCUAUAAUACAGUUCUAGUAACAGUUACAUUCUCCAUCCGCUUCACAGUUGAGACAUAUAUCAAAGAUGGAAGAAAACCAUGAUAUGCUGGCUCUGUCUCUAAGUGUAACACCAGUCAAUAGAACCGUCUCACAGAAACCCCCGAUGAUGCCUCUAGGCUUGGUUUCUCCAUAUCAUCAACAAGCACUUAACAUCAACCAUAUGUUACAGAACCAGGUGACAAGAGAUUUGUGUACUCAGUUACGUAAUGUGGAGGAAAGAGCUGUCUAUUUCAUGAAAGUAAAGGACAAAACCAUCGAAGAUAUGAAGAAACAGUCUGGAGAAAUGGAACUUCGCCUGAGAAAAGCAUUGUCGGAAGCCGAGUUCUGGAAGAAGCAGUCGGCUGAGAAAACAGAACUGUGCAGAGAUCUUGCCGGGAAGCUAUUGCAAGUGAGAAAGAGAGAAAAGUCGAAGAAAGUUAUUCCGGAGCAGAACGAGGCGGAAGAGGCUGAGUCGUCCACUGGUGAUAAUGGAGAGGAUGAUUUAAACACAGCAAGUAUUCGUUUAUGCAAACGUCGCCGUCUUUGAAAUUGGCGCGGGGUUUUAAGGCACGAAUGUUUUUGUUUGUAUGGACAUGGACGUGUGGUCAAAUGUUCCCACUUCCUAUAGUUGUUAUAUAUAUUCGAUGUUGUAUGGGGAGGGAACCUUGAACAUGAUUGUAAUCAUUCUAAAUAUAAAACAUGUCUAAUUUCUGUUACAUAUUAUUUUGUAAAACGCAUAACUUUGAAUUAUAGUUAUAUGAUAUUGCCUUUGUGAAGAAAAAAAAAAAAAACGUUUAAAAUAUUAUAUAAUCUUAAAAUUUUCGAAUUUAAUAGGCCACAUUUUAUGGUAACAAAUUUAUUAUGAUUUCUAUGAAUAUUGGUUAGUUAUUAGUUAGACUUUUUAUUUAUUGUAAAGCAUAUUUUUUCAUUUGAAAAUCUGUCAUUAAUUUUGUUUGGAUAUAGGUUUAGGAUUACAUUUUAUUUCAUUUUACUAUUUAAUCUGUUUGGAUACACUUUUAAAAAAUGCUUCCCUUUAAAUAGUAUAGAUUUACUGAAAAAGAUAUGACCGUAAUUUGUAAACCGUCAGCUAUACUAUUAAUUCAUUGAAAAAUACUAUAACUACUAGAUUUUAACCCGCGUGACGACGUUUUAAAAUGUAUUCUUUUUAUUAAUUUUGUGAGUAUAUAAGAGUGUACUACUAUAUUUUGAUUGUUAAUUCUAUGAUUUAACCCGUAGAAUAUUAUAUGAUAAUUUAUUUUUUAUAUAAUAGUAAUUUUAUCAAAUUAAUUAAAUAAGUAUAAUAUUUAAAGUAAUCAAAUGAUAUUGACAUAAUAUUCGUUUACAUAGUAUAAUUUCAUAUUAAAAUAUUUUGUGAGUUAUACUAUAGUAGACAACCCGUAAAAAUAUCUAUAAUCAUAAUUAUGUAAAUUAUAACUCGUUCCAUCACAUGAUCCGUGCUUCACAAUUAUCAAUAUUACUUUAGUACAUCCAUAUUUUUGUAUCGUUUGAGUAAUACAUCCGUAUCUAAAAAUUCAAAUUGCAACAUAUGCAAAAAAUGUUUUUUUAUAUUUUUACUAUACAUAUGUUUAUGUAAUAAUAUAAACUUAAAAACAAAUAAGGUCAUAUAAAGAUAUUGGAGAAAUAUUUGAUUUAUUAGGGAGAGAUUUUAGGAAACUUUGUUAAAUGUAGUAAAAAUUGAUUUCUAAUUUUGCAAUUUUAUUAUGAUUUAAUUACAAAAUUUAUCUUAAAAUUUUACUAUUUAAUCAAAUGGGAAGGGUUUAAUUAUGAAAAUAUAACAAAAUAAAAGGGUAGAACACAAAAGGUACUUCAAAAAUGUUAAUAUAGAUUUUAUUGACCUAUUCUUGAGGAGUUAUUUUAUAAUUUUUCUAUGAAAAAAUGUAAAUUAUCAUAUAAAUUAAUAAUGAUAUUGGGAUCAAGAAAUUCUAUGAAUUUAUAGAGGUAUUAAUAAAAAUAAUUUCCUAAUUUGGUAAUUUUUUUUAAAAUAGAUACAUCAAAACUAAGAUUUAGUCAUUAUAAUCAAUAAUUUUUUAGAACCAAAUACACCAAAAACAAUAAAUCAUCAUGAAUGAAUAAAACACUAUGAUUUUUUUGAUACAUGAAAUCUAUUAGAAUUGGAUUCUAAGAAAAAUUAAUAUAAAUUUGAGAAAAUAUUUACAAAAGAUUUUCAAAAAUAUUAUUAUCUUAUUAUUUUAUCGGAAUGUGUUUAAAAUUACAAUGGUCCCAACUUGGGACCGAGAAAAUUUAUUAAAUUAUAAAAUUUAUUAAUUUAUCGAGUAUUAAUUUAUCGAGUAUUAAUUUAUAGAGGUUUUAAUGUAAUUAGUUUUUCCAUUAUGCUUAAAAUAAUGGAACGAAAAUAUUGUGGCUUUUUAGACUUAUUUUGCAUAUUUUAUACCAAAUUGAAGUAUCGAGACCGGCAGAGAAGUUGUACAAAGAGUGGUGAAUGGCACGGAGUUAUCAGCGUACCAGGUAUGCUGAUAUUUGUAAGUUUUUAUUUAAUCUAAAUAUUUAAUUCGAUUUAUAGAGAAUUUUUGAGAAAUACCCCUUUUCGUGUACCUCUUUUUAAAAAUACUCCCUUUAUCUAUCCAUUUUCAAAAAUACCCCUUUUUAAAUAUAAAAAAAUUAUAAAGUUUUAUAUAGUUUAUAAGGUACUUCUAUAUAAUAACUACUACUGGGAGAUUCGAUACAAAUGUUUUAAAAUGUUCUAAAUAGUUUUAAAUCGUUUUUAUAAGUUUUAUAAGGUUUUUAAAAGGUUUUUAAAAGGGUUUAUACGGUUUUAUAAGGUUUUUAUAAGGUUUUUAUAAUUUAUUUUUACGCUAUUUAUGAAAGGUAUAUAAAGUUUUAUAUACAUAUAAAGGUAAUUUGUGUAUAUAUUUAUAAGCUUACACACAUAUUUGGAUAAAUUUCAACAUUUUUAUUGAGUUUUUUGAUAAAGUUUGAAAAAGGGGUAUUUUUUAAAAGAGGUAUAUGAAAAGGGGUAUUUUUGAAAUUACCCCUUAUAUUAUUUGAUAUUUGAAAUUUUUAAUUUAUAUAAAUAUUCAAGUUUUUGUAAAGUAUAAUGAAAUUUUAAUUAUUAUAAAAUUUAUUUUACCAAAAUAUCGAGAAUUGAUGGACACGAAAAAAAAACAGGGUAUUCAACUAUUCAUAUAAAAAAAAUAUAGAAAAAAGGUUCUUCGGGUAAUUUAUUAUAUAAACAAGUUUUAUAUAAUAAGUUUCUUCAUUACGCUUAAAAUAAUGGAACGAAAAUAGUGUCGCUUUGUAGACUUAUUUUGCAUAUUUUAUACCAAAUAGAAGUAUCGAGAUAGGAAGAGAAUAUAAUGUAUACAAACAGUGGCGAAUGGCACAGACAGGGCCGUAGGUUGAUAUAAAUGAGCGUACGGGGUUUGCUGAUUUCUCGGUUUCGUGCGUAAGGGAAUGAAUCCAAAGUUGAGGAAAUGGUUGAUUCGAUAAGAAAGAAGAGAAUUGAUAUGCAUUUUAGAGACGUUAGAAAUAUGUUUGAUAUUAUUGGGGAUGACUAUUAAUAGAUUAUACAACUGGAUCUUGUAAUUAAUAAAGACUAAUAUAAGUUUCAAAAAGAGCUGAUGAUUUGUCAAAAUUUUAAGCUAUGAGCUCAUGUGUUACAUAUCUUUUUGCGGUAAAAAAUCAUAUUUUCACUAUCUUGCUGAACCUGACAAGUGACAAUGUUUUCUUUAUUUAAUAAGUGCUCAUGUCCUCCAAAAUCUUCCAAAUUUUUCAGGAAGAUUUUGUUGGUAUUCUUCAUUUGCUCCAAACUGAAUCUUAGUCGAACAGCUUUGAGCCUUCCUUUAUGGCUCUGGCUCGGGUUUUGUUGUAAGUAACUAUUUGUGUACAAGUUAACUAAUCUCAAGCGAGGGCCAAAAGAUUUGAGGUUCAAGUAUACUUGGACUAUUAUCCCGAUGAGUUCCAAUAUAUUAUGCCGACUUUCGAUCCUCCAAAAAAAAUCAUUAGCAUUGAAAGUAUUAGACCCUUCAUGGUUUUUUGUGUAUUUGGCUUGUAUUUUGAACAAUAUUUAUUCCCUCCCUAUCUUGGAGCUUUUGGCUAAAGAGUAUUCAUUCCAGCAAAUUUAUGUUUUUUAAUCUUCAAGUGAACUAGGUCUGCCAGUUCGGAUUCUUGGGUCGGUUAUCUUUGAACUCACAUACAUACAUUAUCUUUCUUUUGCAAGUUCUAUCUAUAUAGAAUUUGAUAUGAACUUUUGUAAUAUGUUAAGCAUCGGAGUGGAUGUGUGAAGAAAAGAUCUUUAAUAUUUUUUCGAAAGACUAUGCAGCUCAGCUUCAACUGGUUGAUACUAUGCUUGGUUUGGAAGAAGCGGAGAAGUUCUUCAAAACCAUCCCCGAAAACAUGAGGGAUUACUUUGUCUACAACAGUCUCUUGAAAUCUUACACUAAAUCUGUGAAAUCACAUGAUAAGGCUGAGGCCACAUUUGAGAAGACAAAAACAAAACAAAACAAAACAAAAAUCAUAAAGUUGAAUAAAUUAAAACUACAGGGGCUCCUGAUACUUGAAAACAGAUCAAGCCAUGGACAGAUUCCGUAGGGGGCAAGUAACAUUGUCCUUGCGGGAAUUUCAUAUGGUAACGAUAAAUAGGCUGACAACAAGAGUAAGAAGAGUUCUGAUUAUCUUGAGGGAUAGAGGAAACGAAGAGCUUGCCGUAUGCGAUAUAGCAUACGAGAAGACUCGGCCGCAGUGUUGAGAAGAAUCGAGUCUCGAAAGAGCUGAUGAAAUAUGACCAUAGCUUCGAUACGCAACGGAAUCUCAAAACAGAUCUCGAAGGCAGCCUUAAUAGUAUUUCUGAGGUUAGAUCUUUAGGAAAAGACGACGUUUUUCGGUUCCUCUUUCUCUUCUUCUCUUUUGGUUUCUCCAUUUUUUUUUUCGGUUGUCAAAACCCUAAAUUUGUUAGGCUGUGUAGCGUAGACUAUUCAAAGUCCCAAUAUAUAUUCUGCUAAUUGUUUCUGGUAGCACUUAUCUAAUAUAUUAAAAAAGUAGUAUGGAGGCUUACGUUCGCUCUCAGAAACGGAUUACAUUUUUAUCGUUAAUGAAAAAUAUCUCUCGUUUCCAAAAGCAGACUUUUAUGUUUAAGAUCGAAAACUUUUAAAUACAACUCCUUACUUGAAACCCUACCGUUUGUGUUUAGCCUCCAUAACUCCAUAGAGAGAAAAACGAUUAGCUUAGCUUCUAUCAUGAUUAAAAUUUUAUAUAUUUUAAUACUAAUGAUAUGAUCGUGGCUAGCACGGAGCAAGAGGCUACAGAGAAACCGGAGAUGGUGGGAAGGAUCACUCAUUCAAGAGCUAAGGAGAUGGCCAAGGAAGCACACGCAUUCAUAGCUGACGGGUCAUUCAACCUACCAAGGAUCCAAGUCUUCAACAUAUCUAACCUGAAGACUUCACCCGGUGAUGAGGACUAGGUAACUUAGGUGAGAAGUUUGUACUCUUUUUCCCAUAGCUGAGUUUUGUCCCAAUGGGUUUUCUCAGCAUGGUUUUUAAUGAGGCAAAUGGAUCACUACGUCGAGUUAUCUAGAAAUCAUUACCAAAGGGGAAUAAUGUACUUCUGUACUACUACAGGUCGUCAAGCUUCUGUACUAGUUCAGCCGACUUCUGUACUACUACAGGGCGUCGGGAAAUCUUGUUGUUUUUAUUAUUUCCUUAAAACAUGUUGUUGUUUUGGUUUUGAACUUCUUGUUGUUUGGAGUGUCGUGCCCUAGGGUAUUUAAAACCCAAAGCUACGCCUCUUUUCUCUUUAGCGAAGAAGUUGUAUGAACAAGUAUUGUCACACUUUUUCUCUCAAUUCGAAUUCUUGAAUGCGUUCUAGAUUUCCGGGUUUCUAUACACUUUAUGAUUCAGAAACUCUUCAUUGUUACAAUCCAUACAACCACCUAAACAUCUAUCUCCAUCAAACCAUUGUUUCAUCAUUCAAUCUUCUCAAAUCAUCACUCACGUUCAUCGCCCAUCAUCAUCAACAAACUCACGUCGCCUAUCACCUAUCUUCAGCCUUCAUCGGAGUUCUAUCCUAGGGAGAUCAUAUUAACUAAUCUUUGUGUUUCAUGUUAUUCAUCAUCAUAUAAUUUUUCUUUCGUGUUCUUGUAAUGCUUAUUUCGAAAGCAAGAUAAACAAUUCCUACAGCUUUGUCUAAGCUUACUUCACCUUUUGAAUCAGUUAUUCUCUAAGUUUAUUUGUUUUAUUUUCAUUGGAAUAAAUUUCUAAUUAUUACGUUUGAUAAGUAUUGAAGAUGAUAUUAAAAAGACGUUAAGUUGUACUUGGAAAAUAUGGAAAUAAUGGAAAUAUCAUGUAAACUUAAAAUAAAUAAUUAUAUAAGUAUGUAGUUUAGAAAACAUCAACAAAUCCCAUUGAAUAACACAAAUUAGUAUGGACCACAAAGAGAGUUCGAUGCGAGAUCCAGUUAGUUUUCAACAUAUUUAAAUUUAACACUUAGAUUUUUUAAAAUAAAAACAUUUUGUGUGUUGUUGUUAUAAAUCAAAACGUUACUUAAAAAUUAUAAUAACUUUACUUUAAUUUUAAAAAAACUUGAAACCUAAGCAUUAAAUUUUUUACAAUACGUGAUAACAUGUUGAACUUAUACACCACUGACGGACCACAAAGGGACUGGAUGCUCGGCCCAGUUUGUUUUCAAUGUAAUAAAAUUUAACACUUAGAUUUAACCCCACAAAAUGAUCAUUAUGAUUUAUUAAAAAUCAUAACUAUUUUUACUUGAAGUUUGCUUUUACAAACCUUAAUAUUUAGUUGUAAAUCAGGAAAAUACAAAUGAAAAACAUGAAUUUUUUUUUUAUGUAUAUUUUUAUAUCAAAAUCAAUUGUUUUUAAUUUUAAAUUUUUUUAAUAAAAGUUUGAAAAGUUGAAAUAUACCUGUAAUAUUUAAGUAUCCUGAGGGAUGAGGCGACUCAAUCCGUGGUCGUUUCAGAAUUUUGCUACACGUAAAUAGAAAACAAACCAAUCUGCGCAUUUCAUAAUCGUCAAAAAUUCAAUUAUUUUGAUAAAACUAAAGACAACUAUUACGAACCUGCUAAUACCUCUGUUCCUCUCUUCAAUAUACAUAAAUCCAUGGAUCGAUGGAGAUCAUCAUAAAGACAUUCAUCGAACCUUGAGUCACCAUUGAACCUUGACCCUCCACCCUGAAACUAAAGCUUAAUCAAGUACAAAUCUUCAUCAUCCAAGACUACAGAAUACACAAAAUCAUACACUCAGUUCAAAACAAAGAGAUGAAUCACAAAGGCUAACAUGUUUAAUGAACUAAAAAGUACACAAAAUGGCUUGCAUUUACACACCUAUGAGAUUCAGUUGUGUAUGUUGCAGACAGGUAAUAAUAAGUCUAUAUGUGGUCGAGAAGCAACAUGAGCUCAGUAGUAAUAAAAUAAAACAAUGCCAAUGGAAACUCGCAAAUCAAAUCAGUAUACCUCAGGUUAUGAAUGUAGUAAUGCUGAUGCUACAUGAUCAUCAAAUCUUCAUGAUAAUAGAGAACAACAUCAAUGACCAGUAAAGACAAUGUAUAUAUACUAAUAACCAAAAUCAAAAACAAGAGAACAACAACAACAGAAAAGUAGAAACGAAUAGCUCACCAAGAACAAGCAUACCUCCUCCUAUCAAAAGGCCUGAAAAACCAUAUAAGAAGGGAUAUAUAAAGGAGACAGAGAGAACCACGAAUACUCAUUACAAAACCAAAGAGAGGAAUACUAACCAAAUACGUAAAUCAUAAGUCCAACAUUGGCUUGCAUCAAUCGUAUACUCUUAUGAGAUUCAGUUCUGUAUGUAGCAGACAUAAAAGUUCUCAACUUGUAAGAGACAAGACAUAAAAAACCAGACCAUAUGCAGACAGAGGAACAAGAAGAGAUAGAGCGGUACCUUGAAGAGUUGAAGGGAAAAGAGGAAGCAAGAGCACCACCAUGAGGACGAACCAGAGGUUAGAUAACACGAACCAGAAGAAGAGGAACCAAAAGCAGAGGUUAGAUGCCAAAGACGAACCAAAAGCCUGUAUGUAGCAAACAUAAAAGUUCUCAACUUGUAAGAGACAAGACAUAAAAAACCAGACCAUAUGCAGACAGAGGAACAAGAAGAGAUAGAGCUGUACCUUGAAGAGUUGAAUGGAAAAGAGGAAGCAAGAGCACCACCAUGAGGACGAAGCAGAGGAAGUAGAACCAAAAGCCUCGAUCAUCACCACCAUGUCUCAAGCCACAGCAUUCUAUGAUCAUCAACCAGAAGAAGAGGAACCAAAAGCAGAGGUUAGAUCGCCACCACGUUUCAAGCCUCAGCACCCUAUGAUCGCCGUGUUGCAUAUCUCGAUCAUCAACGAGAGGAAAGCUAUAAAGUUUAAAGCUUUUUCACCGAAGAUGAAUCAGAGAAUCGAAGGAGAAGAGGGAACGAACUAAAGAGAUUGAUUUGUAGGGUUUAGAAAGAAGAAGAAGAAGAAAGAACGGAGAAGAAGAAGAGAUAGAGCGUUACCGUAAAGGGAAAAGAGGAAGCAAGAGCACCACCAUGAGGACGAAGCAGAGGUUAGAUCCCAAAGACGAACCAGAAGAAGAGGAACCAAAAGCCUCGAUCAUCGCCACCAUGUCUCAAGCCUCAGCAUUCUAUGAUCGCCAUGUUUGCAUAUCUCGAUCAUCAAACCAAAUCUCACAACAACAAGAGAAAAGCUAUAAAGGUAGAAGCUUUACACCAGCGUUGAAUCAGAGAAUCGAAGGCGAAGAUGGAUAUGCUUUCUUGUUCGACAAGAGAGAACGAAUCAACCUGUAGGGUUUCGUAGAAGAAGAAGAAGAAGAAGAAGAAAGACCGGAGAAGAAGAAGUGAGAAACAGAGAAUUUUGAUUUCUCUAUCAAAAGGAAGAGCGGAGAAGAAGCGUUUGAGUUGAGAGAAUUAAAGAGUAAAUUUUUAAUAUUUAUAAGCGAAAUUAAUUAAGAGGUUAAUGGAGGUGUUCAAUAGCUCUCAGAACGUAAUGAGACUAUGAGAACACUAAAGGGAAAAUGCUUGACUCGUAUUAUGGUAUUAGAGGUACUAGACAAGAAACAUAGAUGACACUUAUGUCCUGUGAGUUUUGUGUAUAGAUAGAUAUUGGUUAGUGUUGUUACAGUUAAGUGGUAGACAUUGAACCUUUGUGAAGUUUGCUGGUUGUGCAACAGUUUUUUUUAUCUAAGAAGAAUAUGAGGACUUAGGUAGAAAUAUGGAAAUGGGGUUAUUGAAUUCUUACUUGGAGGUUGGUGACUGUGAUGCAAAGUGCAAAGCACUGAGAGUUCAUUGGAAGAGUUUAAGAGAACCAGAGGAAAAUGCUCGAGUUAAUAGACUUAACAGAACCAUGGGGCAUGGACAUUAGAUAAAUGAUUGGUAAUCACUGGUUUAGCUAUAUUGGUUAGUGUUUGUGUUUAUGUGCUUGAUUGAUUCAAGAACUUACCAGAGUUGAAGAGUUGGGUGGUGAGAAAAGAGAUACAUGACGGAGAAGCCCUGGUUUAUUUAUAUUGGUUAGUGUCUGUGUUCAUGUGUGUUUGCCAGCUAAGUAAGUCUAACUUGUUAGAGUUGAAUACUUGGGUUGGUAAGAGAAGUUCUCGUGUUCCUGUGUUUUGUCACUGAAAUAUUAGAGUUUCUAUGACCUAAUGAAUCCAACCAAUGGAAGACACAGAUGGUGGAUAACAGCAAAUGCCACUAGUGGUAUAAGAGCCAAGAACAUUGUGCAUUGUCUGCACCCAGCGCCCGAUACAGGCAAUUGAAAAGAUCGCCAAGAGGAUCCUUAAAGCUGUUUUGAGAAUCAUUUUAUCAAAGAAAGUAGGAUUUUGUUCGCAUUCCUCACUAUUAGUCUUUCUAUUUUGUUGAUAAUUUGACAGUAACUAUCGACUUAGUUUAGUAUCCUCUCAGAUAGUAUAUGUGUGAUAUGAUACCAAAGUUAUGCGAAACAAAGAUUUUUAUACAGAAUUCAGUGUCUGCGAUAAAUAGUAACCUCACUAGUUCAAACGAAAAUCGCGGAUAAACAAAUUUUGGAUGAAUGAUAACAGCAGAAUCAUUCCUAUAUCAUUCACAAUCUUAACACCAACAUUGUCUUCGACUCAUCAAAGCAUCGCUAAGCUCCAGACAGGCCAAGAAAGAAAAAGAGAAAAACAGAUGGACUAGCACGCAUUCAUUACUCCAACUUCUCGAGUUCUGACAUCCUUUCGAUGAUCGCCUGCAAGUAAAAAAUUGUUCCCAGCAUUUAAAGGUUUAGUGGUUGAGCAAAGGAAUGUGUUAGUGCAAGAGGAAAGCUUGAAACCAAAAUUUAUACCCUUUUGCUUGUUUCUUGGAGCUCCCCAGCAAGAAUGAAUUCAUCGAGUAUCAGAUACACCUUUUAAUUGAAAUCACAGAGAAUUAGUAGCAAAUAUUAGAGUACAAACACAGAUCAUAUCUAAACACACAGAAGCAUCCACAUAGUUAGACACAAAUGGGAAAUGCUUUUGAGAAUGCUGCAGAUAUAUAUUUAUCUAACAGGUCAUGUUGGUCAGCUUAGAAUUGGGACAAAUACAAAGAGAAAAGAAUGAAACUAGCUUUUAAUUUUAGCAAACACAAGCUUUCAUUUGAUAGACCCUUAGAAUCUUCAUGGAUAAAAAUCUUCAGAUUCCCCUUAAAAACAUUUACACUAAACUUAUUUAAAGCUCCUAAGUAGAGAAAUGAUGAAGCAAAAAUCCCAGGUUUAAUCGAAAUCAGUGGUUAUACAGCAUCAUAAGCUAAACUUUAAGGGUUACAGGAUCCAAAGAAGCAGUUUUUGAGAACUAAAUAUAAAAAGAGUAAGAGCAACAAAAGAGGUUUGGUAACUUGUGGAAAUUAAACACCAAAUCUAGCUCACAGACAUUGCUGAAGAAAUGGUCCAAGAUCUCCACAAACAAAUGGAUACUCUCCAGGUAAGCCAACUCAUUGUCGGUUAUAUCCACGCACACAGAGAAAAACAAUCCAGCAUAACGCCUGUAUAUCACCUUGUGUGUUCUAAACUGAAAAUAGUUGCAGAAAACAGUUUUAUCAUUCUAGCUCACAGAACAAUAUUGGUUUCUUAAUCACAUUUUCAUGUCUCAUAAGACACAUAUCUACUUCUCUAUACAUAUAUUGAAUGAGUUGGGUUACUUCUACCUCAGCUUAUAAUAUCUCAAACAACAACUAAUACCUCAACCAGAGAAAAUUCGCAGAUUCGAAUUCGACAGAGCAAUGCUCCUAUACUGUGCUAGUAUCAACAGCCCUAAAUCUCAUAUACAAAACCUGAAUUAAGAAUCAUAUGCAUUCCUACAAUCUGGAGAACCCUAAUCUCAAUUGAGACUUUUAUGUUUAAGAUUGAAAACUUUUAAACCAAAAUCGGCUUUGUUGGUUUAAACCGAUCUUUCUAGAAUUUUAAGUUUUCGAUUUUGAACCAAACAUACGUAAAAAAGUCCGUCGAAAAUACAACUCCUUACUUGAAAUCCUACCGUUUUUGUUCAGCCUCCAUAACUCCAUAGAGAGAAAAACGAUUAUCUUAGCUUCUAUCAUGAUUACAAAUUUAUAUUUGAAUACAUUACUAUGUGUUCAGUUCAUCAUCUUAUAAUUUUUCUAUCAUGUUCGUGUAGUGCUUAUUUAGAAAGCAAGAUAAACAAUUCCUACAGCUUUGGCUAACCUUACUUCACCUUUUGAAUCAGUUAUAUUCUCUAAGUUUAUUUGUUUUAUUUUCAUUGGAAUAACUUUCUAAUUAUUACGUUUGCUAAUUAUUGAACAUGAUCUUAUAAAAGUCGCUACGUUGGGCUUGGAAAACAUGGAAAUAUCCUGUAAACUUAAAAUAUCAUGUGGCGCCAAUAAAUAAUUAUAUAAGUAUGUAGCUUGGAAAUCAUCAACAACUCUCAUUGAAUAACACAAAUCAGUAUGAAAGAGUUCGAUGUUAGGUCCGGUUUGUUUUCAACAUAUUUAAACUUUCAAAUUUUGUAUGUUAUAACUUUUCAAAAUUUGUAUGUUAUAACUUUUCAAAAUCAAAAAUUUACUUAAAAGUUAUAACUUUACUUAAAAUAUAAAAAACCUUAAACCUAAGCGUUAAAUUUUUUACAAUACGUGAUAGCAUGUUGAACUUACACACCACUGACGGACCAUAAAGGGACUGGAUGCUCGGCCCGAUUUGUUUUCAACGUAUUAAAAUUUAACACUUAGAUUCAACCAAAAAAAGAUCAUAUUUACUUAUUAAAAAUUAAAACUAUUUUUACUUGAAAUUUGAAUUAAAAAACCUUGAUAUUUUUAGUUGUAAAACAGGAAAAUAGAAAUGUAAUUCAUAAAAUAUUUUUUUCUUUAUGUAUCUUUUUAUAUCGAAAUCAAUUUUUCUUAAUUUAUUUAAUUUUUUAAAAGUUAGAAAAGUUGAGAUAUUACCUGUGAUAUUUAAGAAUCCUGAAGGCUACAGUGACUCAGACGGUGGUCGUUUCUGAAUUUUGCUAAUCGUAAUACAAAAACAAACCCAUCAGCGCAUUUCAUAAUUGUCAAAAACUCAAAUUACUUUGAUAAAACUAAAGACAACUAUCACGAACCUGCUUAUAAAUAUUCUCCUCUUCAGUAAUGGUCUCUAAUGACUGAAGAAAACAGAGGAUCAAUGGAGCUCAUCAUAAAGACAUUCAUCGAGCCUUGAGUCACCGUCGAACCUUCUCCACCCUGAAACAAAAGCAUAACAUUCAGUUCAAAACAAAGAGAUGAAUGAUAAAUAUGAUACGUGAAUCACAAGGCUAUAACAUGUUUGAUGAUGAACUAAAAAGUACACAAAAUGGCUUGCAUUUGCAUCAAUCCAAAAUCGUAUAUGCAUUUACACACACCUAUGAGAUUCAGUUCUUUAAGUUGCAGAGAGGUAGUAAUUAUUCUAUAUGUGGUCGAGAAGCAACAUGAGCUCAGUAGUAAUAAAAUAAAACAAUGUCAAUGGAAACUCGCAAAUCAAAUCAGUAUACCUCAGGUUAUGAAUGUAGUAAUGCUGAUACUACAUGAUCCUUCUUCUUUCUUGAUAAUUGUGAGGAAGUCCUCUUGAUCCAAAUCUUUAUGAACUAUAGAAAAACCUGCAAAGAAGAGAACAACAACAGAGAAGAACAUCAAUGACCAGCAAAGACAAUAUAUAUAUACUAGAAACUAAUAGGUCUGAAACAAACAAACCUCCUCCUAUCAAAAGGUCUGAAACUUCCUUGUCUACAGAUCAAUGGAUUUGUCAGAAAACCAUAGCUAACACUGUAACGCUCACAUACAAAUACAUAUAACUCUAACAGUUAAGCAACAGAGGAAUUCUAACACAGAAAUACACAAAAAAUCAUAUAAGAAGGAGACAGAGAGAACCACAAAUACUCAUUACAAAACCAAAGAGAGUAAUACGUGAAUCAUCAUAAGGCAAACAUUGGCUUCCAGAUUCAAUGAAGACACAAAUCGAAUCAAAACAACUGUAAUUCCAAAAGGCAAAAGAAUGAUGAUUGCUACAUAAUAAACUCCUAAAAAUUGGAUAAAAGUUCUCAACUUCUAAGACACAAGACCAUAUCCAGCACAGAGGAACAAGAAGAGAUAGAGCUGUACCUUGAAGGGUAAAGAGGAAGCAAGAGCACCACCAUGAGGACGAAGCAGAGGUUAGAUAGAUCCCAAAAACGAACCAGAAGAAGAGAGAUCAAAAGCCUCGAUCAUCACAACCAUGUCUCAAGCCUCAGCAUUCUAUGAUCGCCACUACGUCUCAAGCCUCAGCAUUCUAUGAUAGUUCUCAACUUCUAAGACACAAGACAUCUAAGACACAAGACACAAGACAUCUAACUCCUAAAAAUUGGAUAAAAGUUCUCAACUUGUAAGAGACAAGACAUCAACAACAAGACCAUAUGCAGACAGAGGAACAAGAAGAGAUAGAACGGUACCUUGAAGGUAAAAGAGGAAGCAAGUGCACCACCAUUAGGAGGAAGCAAAAGCAGAGGUUAGAUAGAUCCCAACACGAACCAGAAGAAGAGGAACCAAAAGCAGAGGUUAGAUCCCAAAGAGGAACCAAAAGCAGAGGUUAGAUCCCAAAGACGAACCAGAAGAAGAGGAACCAAAAGCAGAGGUUAGAUCCCAAAGACGAACCAGAAGGAGACGAACCAAAAGUCUGGAUCAUCGCCACCAUGUCUCAAGCCUCAGCAUUCUAUGAUCGCCCUGUUUGCAUAUCUCGAUCAUCAAACCGAAUCUCACAACAACAAAUUAACCAGAGAAAAGCUAUAAAGGUAGAAGCUUUACACCAACGAUGAAUCAGAGAUUCGAUGGCGAAGAGGGUUAUGCUUUGUUGUUCGACAAGAGAGAACGAACUAAGGAUAUUGAUUUGUUGAAGAGAAAGAAGAAGAAGUGAGAGAAACAGAGAAUUUUGAUUUCUCGAUCAAAAGGAAGAACGGAGAAGAAGAAAGUUUGAGAAGCUUUGAGUUGUUUAACAAAAAAGAAGAAGCUUUGAGUUGACAGAAAGAGUUUUUUUAAUUAAAAGAAAAGGAAACUGAUGAUAUCACAAUCACAACGGUUAUAUUAAUACCGAGAUUUUGUUUCUUUUAAAGUUUCUUCAUUACAACGGUAACAUUUUGAACUUGUUAAUUUUAAAAGAGAAUUUACUGAAAAACUAGGUUCGGACCCGCGGUACAACGCGGGGGAAAUAAUUACAUAUAUAUAACUUUUAUCAGAUUAAAAUAUGUUGCAUUUUAAUUUUGUUAGAGUGCAGUCGAUUACGGUAAAUCAUAUAUUUGUAUAAUAAGUUUAAAUAAAAUAAUAAAGGAAAAAGCGAGUAAAUAAUCAUAUACUGAGUUUUGAUACAAUUAAAAACACGGUGAAAAUUUAACAGCACGAAAUAAUAUUUGUCGAUAAAUUAUUCAUUUUGGCCAUUUUUGUAGUAAAGGUAGGAAUAUAUGUAAAAAUUACAUAUUUACAAUAUAUUUUUUGAAAGUCCAACCCGUAACAGAAUUCAUUUUGUAAAAAACAUUAUUCGUAACUCGUUUUAUCAUUAUAAUUGUGAUUUUAACAAUCUAGCCGUGAAUUAUCUAAAAUUUACAUAUUUUGAUAUAUAAUAUAUUUUAUCAAUAAAAAUUAUGUAUCCAAAAUUACAUUUAUAUCUUAAAAAAAAAUAUUUCUAUAUUUUAAACUAGGCAAGUUACCCGCGUUUCGCCGCGGUUAAGGGGAAGAAUAUAUACAUUUUAGAGACGAAUUGAUAUUAACAACAUUGUAGUAUUUGUAAUCAGUAAUCUUGUUUUUAAAUAUCUAGAUAUUUCAUUUGCUUUUUGUAUUUGAAAUUGCAACAAUGUUGUGAACCUAUUGCUCAUAAUGGAUAUGAUUUGGUUACGUCUUAUUCUGAAUUUUACAAUGUGCAUACAUGAACCAACUGUAUUAUAAUUUUCAAUAUAACAUGAAUACUAUAUCAUGAUCAAUAUUAAUAUGUAAUGACCAAACUGAAAAUGAUAAUUAAAAAAUUCGGCCAAUUUUUCAAAGAUCAACGAUGUAUUUGUAAAUGUUUAAAUAUCAAGAAUAUCAAGAAUAAACACAUAGUCGUUCUUACAUAGAAUCUCCGAUGAUUCAUUAUAUAUAACAAAAUCCAAACUGAAACAAAAUAUUGAUCCUAUUAAGGUUUCAAAACACAAAACAUCUAUACAUUAAUAAGCAGGCCAUGUUAUUCCUAUGCUAGAACUGCAUUGAAACCAUCUUGUAAUCAUUCCUCGGAAGAUACUCUGAAAUGGUAGUUUGCAGCAAAUUCAGAGCUACAAUUCAAAUAUCCAAGUUAGUUAGAAUCUAUAUAAAAUAAAAAACAAUGGGACAACCAUAUGCCUAAAAGAAAACGUAUAAACUUACCUUAUCUUGUGGUUUUCUAGACCAGUAUUGGUUGGGUUAAGAAAUGUCCUUGAAGCUCCACUAUCACCUUCAUCAUCAUUAGUAAUACAGGGCUUACCUAAACAAAGUAAACAACAAAGGAAAUUAUAAUAUUUUCUAAUCCGUCUAUUGUAAAAUCUCAAACAUUCAAAUAGAACUACAAACAUUCAAAUAGAACUAAACUCUCUUUACCGUGAUAUGUAGAUACUCUCCAAAAUCGAAGGACACAAAACACCGGGUGUGUUUUGUAAGUGAUAUUGUAACCCUUUGACCUCCACUCCCUUAAGAAGUUAUGAGCACCUAGUCCUCUAAUAUGACAACUAAUUCUUUCAUUCCUGUUACAGUACAUUGUAUAUAAUUAGGCAAAUUUAUAAGCAUGCUUUCCAAUAUAAAAUAUAACUAAGCAUAAGUAACGUUUACUAAAUUAACUUCCAUUAAUCAUUUGGAAAACCAAGCCGUUGACUCUAUAAGGAUUCCCAUACUCAUCCAUUUUACUAUCCUCUUCUUUCAAUUCACCAACAUCAAUUAUAGAUCCGUAGAAAUCUAACAUGGAGUAAAUAUAGACAAAAUGCUUAGAAUAGAUAGAUAUUUCAUAUGGUUCAAAAUAUGAUAAUUUAAACUUGAUUCAGAACACUUACCAUAGGAAUUAUCCACAGGAACGAUUUCUUUUAAAACAUGCGAGAAAUCUUCAAAGUGAUAGUAUUCUUUGGAAGACAGAGGAGCUAUGCGCAUCAUACUUGUCUUCUCAUCAACCUUGAUCUGGUACGUAUGGUUGGUGUUUCUUUCUGGCAACACAGGCUUUAUAACUCUAAAAUCUUUGAUGGAAUACCAUACCCCUUCGUAAACAUGUUUAGGGAUAUUCUUCUCAGAAUGUUUUAACACAUAAGUAGCUUCAAUCCUGUCACCCUAUAUUAAGAUUUAAGAGCAAACUAAUCGACUUAAACUAAAGCAUUAGAACUCAAAAUUGACCGAUUACUACACAAUUGAACAUAAGGGAAGUUUAACAUAUGUUUAUUGAAAAUUUAGAAACAUAAAUUACCUUUUCAUCGGCAAGGAUUAAAACCCUUUUCAUGAAGAAAUCCCUUCGAUAGGCAAUAGACAAUAUUUUCGCUUCUAUGUUCCAAUUAGUUCUUGAAGGAUUCAAAUCGGCAACGGAAUCUGUUCGCAUGAUUUCUAAAUUAUAAAUUUCUGUUUUCGUUGGAAGAAUUGUGAAGAAGAUGAUAGGCGGUGUGUUUGAUCUUUCGGAUUCCAAAUGAAAAUAGAUUUAGUUUAGGUAAAAAAAUAAAAGUCCAUUAGACGCUUAUAAAUUGUAAAUAGUGGUAAGUUGCGUCGUUUGGAUUUUCACAUUAACAUUUUUAAAAAAAAACACUAAUAUUUCGUUUGGACAUGUAAGAUAUUUUUAAAAGAAUCAAAUGUUAUAGAAUCGAAUGUUUUAACUGUUAUUUACUAUAAGUAUGUUAUUCUUUUUAUAUUUUAAGUGGUACAUAUAAUUAGAGUCUAUAAAACCCUUAAACCCCAAACUGAACAAAACACAUUAUUUAGUGAUAAAUGUAAAAUUCCUAACAAAUAGUAGGGUUUGAAACAAAAUUUGGUUUAUGAUUUAUACUCACGAGAUUUAAACCCGAUGGGUUGGUUAUCUUCUGAUGACAUGGUUUAUGAUUAUACUCACGAUAUUAGAACUUAUUCUGAAUGAAAUUAAUAUUCUAUUUGAAUAUUUAUGCUAAUAAUGUAAAUUAAAUAAGCUAUUUUGAGAUAUCCACAUCUGUAAAUAGGAACAAAUUGGCUUGGUUGGCUUGAUAAUAAGAAUUAAAAUUUACAAUAGACCAAUAUUAAAGUCUGAAAGCAUAAAACAUUUUAAGUGGAUACAUAAUAAAUUGAUUCCGUGCAUGGUAAGGUAAACACUUGGAAGUGAUACUUCAAGAUCAAGCUUUAUUUUCAGCAAAAUUUCACUAAAUAAUUUAUUUGGUUCAUGAUUUCUAGGAACUUCGAAGAUAACCACCAUUCAUUUGGUCCCAUAAAUAACGUACGCACAAGUAGUACCAGUUUUGGAUAUAACUUUAUACUCAAAGCACCUAUAAGUAUGAUAAUUCCUAUUUUUUGCUCACAAUCUUCUUUUGUAUAUAAAAUUGUUCCCUUCUAUUCUAAUUUUUUGAAUCCGCCUAUAUGAACCAAUUGUAUUAUGAUUUUCACAAUGAUCAAAUAUAAAUGAAUUUUAUAUUUAUGAUUGAAAGUAAUACAUAUAAAUUGUGCUUGAGUAGAUGACAUAAUUUAUAUAAUUCUUAAAACUUUUAAGUUAUAUUAGUAUAUAUAAAGUAAUACGUAGAACAACCGUUUAGGUAAAAACUGAAACUGGGACAAUGUGUUUCACAUGAAACUAUGAAAUAAAAUUACAACUAAUCAAAAAAUGAUCCAACAGACCAGUUGAUUUCUAUGUUACUGUUGCAUGGCUUGGAUCUUCUUCUCCGUACUUAGUAGUCUUGUUGAAAUGAUAAGAUGCAGCAAAUUCAGAGCUACAAAAUUUAAUAUUUUACAUUGUUAAGAUUAUAUAUAAGAGAAGCAACAUAUUGACAAAUAUUGGCAAUGGACAGCAUAUUAGAAUUUACCUUGUUCUGUGGUGUUGAAGUCCAGGAUUGUCUGGAUUUAAAACUGUCCUUGAAAAUCCGCAAUAAUCUUCCGCAUCAUUGGUAAUACACGGCUUUCCUAAGAUGUAACAUGUAGAAUGAAUCGGGUUCUAGUUCUUUAUCUGUUCUAUAGAUUCAGGUCCAUAUCAUAUGUAUAGAACUAAAUAUGGUUGUUACCUUGAAAUGAUGACAAUCUCCAAAACCUGAGAACACAAAAGACUGGGUUAACUUUGAAUGUGGUAUUGUAACCCUUUGAUGUCCAUUCGGUUAAGAACUUGUCAGCACUGUAUCCUCUUAAAUGACAUAAGAGAUGUUCAUCCCUAUAACAGGAAACACUCUAUAACUAUUCCAAAAUAAAAGCAAACAAAUCAAUGAGGAUUGAACAUAAUUUUAGCAAUGUUUAGCAAUUUACCUUCCAUUUAUAAGCUUGAAAACCAGAGAAUUGACACCAUAAGUAUUACCAUAAUCAUCCUCCUUUAUAAACUCUUCUUUUAUGGGACCAACAUCAAUAACCGAACCAUAGAAAUCUAGCAUGACUCGAAAUAAGACAAACUUUGUUAAAAUUGAUUAAUUUAAACUUACUUAAAUCAUUACAACAUGUACUAAAAGUAGAACAAACUUACCAUAAGAAUUAUUGAGUGGGAUGACUCCAUUGAAAACAUGAUUAAAAUCUUCAAAUCGGUAGUAAUCUCUGGUGGACAGAGUACCUAGGAUCAUCAUGUCCGUCUUCUCAAAAAAUUUUAUCUGGUACUGAUGGUUGGUAUUCCGUUCUGGCAACACUGGCUUGAUGACCUUGAAAUCUCGAAUGUUAUACCAUUCCCCAUCAUAAAUAUGUUUAGGUACAGGGUGUUUGAAAUUUUGAUAGCAUAUAGAAGCCUCAAUCCGAUCACCCUACAAUCAAAUUUCAGUGGUUCAUCAAUUGCUACAUGUAAAUCAAUCAAUUUAACGUAAUAAGCAGUUCAGGUGAUCAAUAUGUUAUAGAGUUCUUAAGACUUGCGUUUAGCUCAAUUACAUUUAUAUGAAGACUUGCUAUAUGUAAAUCAUUUUAGAAAUCGAUUCAAUGACUAUAUGUAAGUCACAAACAAUUUCUAUAUGUAAGUUUUAUAGAAAAUUACCCUUUGAUCAGCAAGGAUUAGGACCCUUUUCAUCAUAAACCCUCUCUUGUAAGAAAGACUCAAUAUCUUCACGUCUAUGUUCCAAUCAGUCCUCGAUGGAUUCAAAUUGGCUAUGCAAUCUCUCGGCAUCUCGAAACGCCUUGUAGAAUAUCGUGAUUCCGUUUGAAGAAAAGUGUUGAAGUAGAGUAUCGGUGUUUAAGGGUUUAAUCGGUUUCAAUUGUGCCAAAUAGAUUCAGAGUUGGAAGAAGAUGAAAAGUCUAUUGGUGAAACAAUAUUUAUAAUCAAAAAUCGAAAUGGUGCGUCGUUUAAGUUAUGCANNNNNNNNNNNNNNNNNNNNNNNNNNNNNNNNNNNNNNNNNNNNNNNNNNNNNNNNNNNNNNNNNNNNNNNNNNNNNNNNNNNNNNNNNNNNNNNNNNNNUAAUAAAUUAGAUUUAAUUAAUUUUAUUAUUUUUGAUAAAACAUUUGGACAUUAAAGAAUUUUUAACACUAACCAAAAUUUACAUAUGUAUACCCUACAUUUAAACCAUCUGUUAAUUGAAAACAAAUUUUAAUUUAGCUAAUAGAUAAGAUCUAGGACUAAGUAUCAAUUUUUAAAAGCAAAAACCAAUAGUUUAUUAGAUUUAAAAUUUUAAACAACAACAAAGUAAAUGCAAUAGCAUUCUUAUUGGAGAUUCAAAACAAAAGUAAUAUGUAAAGAGUAUACAUAAGAGGAUUUGGUGUGUCUUGCCAACCAAGACAUCUAUUGGGUCUGGUAUGUCUUGGAUUUGUUUAUCUAUAAUGAAAAAUAGCUGAAUCGACUAAUCAUUAGGAACACGGCUCCGCGACUAUAACUAUUAGAGAAGCUAUUUAGAAUAUCAUUAACUUGAUUCGUUUGUAAAUUGAAAAAAUUGACUAUAUAAAGCGUACUUAUUCAGAUCUGCAACCAAAAAAGUGCAUCCAUAUAACUUUCGAGACGAAUUAAUAUUAACAACAUUGUAUAAUUUUUAAUUAGUAAUUUUGUUUUUAAUUAGUAAUUUCUAGAUAUUUCAUCUGCUUUUAAUUAGUAAUCUUGUUUAUAAUUAGUAAUUUCUAGAUGUUUCAUUUACUUUUUGUAAUUUAAACUGCAAUAAAGUUGCGAAUCUAUUUUUGUUUAUGGAUAUGAUUUAGUUACGUCUUAUUCUGAAAUUUACAAUAUGCAUACAUGAACCAACUGUAUUAUGAGUUUCAAUAUAACAUGUAUACUAUAUUAUGAUUUUGAUCAGUAAAUUCACUAAGUUUAAUCGUUUUAAAGUUUACCAUAUUAACUAUAUAAGGAAAAUUAUUGAAGAGUGUAACCAAAAAACGGUUGCAUGAUAAUACUUAUUUUUCAUGAAAAAUAAACACGUAAAUCUGAUGAUGCAACAAAUUGGUAUGUAAUUAAAUGUUAUCAAAGAUUUCUUUAAAGACUACGUUAAGGGUCUUGUUCUGACAUUCACCGUCUUCAUUAGUUAUCAAAAUCUUCAAUCCAUUUCUCGUCGUCACUCUAGAUAAUGCAACAUAUAGCUGUCCAUGUGUAAAGACUGGUUUUGGUAAAAACAAUCCAACGUAUUCCAGCGUCUGACCUUGGCUUUUGUUAAUAGUAAUCGCAUACGCAAGAGUCACAGGAAACUGACGACGCCUCAUACGGAAAGGAAACUUUGCAUCUGGCGGAGACACAAACAUUCUAGGGAUAAGUACUUUUUCGUUUACACUGUUACCUGUUACUAUCCUUGCCUCUAUAACAUGAUCAGCCAUUUGAGUAACAAUCAACCUUAUACCAUUGCACAAACCACCUUUAGGAUCUAUAUUCCUUAGCAACAUGAUAUGGGCUUCUUUCUUCAAUGUUAAUUCAUGCUUAGGCAAUCCUGAGACGUUGAUACUAUUUAAAAAUUCCUGCGAGUAGACCAUAUCGUCGAAAACACUUGUAUCCGACGUUUCAAUGGAAUCUGAACUAAAAUAACGUCUUUCUUCACCUAUGAUAUAGUUAAAUAUGUAAAAGAGACAUGCAAUUUAGUAAACUUAUUUUAUUACCAAAAAGCAUAAUAUUAGAUACACGUAAACAAUUAUAAUGCAUACCUGGUAGUUGAGAAAGCAUAUAUUGAUUGAUUUUAUCAACAUCUUCGUUCCUUGGACUAAGAAUUGCUCUUCGCCUAAAGAAUUUUGGAUCCUUCUCUUUAGCAAAAGAAUUACCAUAGAUUUCCUUAACAAUUGCUUGAAUAGGUUCCUCAGCUGCUGUUAUCAAUAAAUCUUCAGGUAUUUCUAUUUCGACCUCACCAUCGUUUGGCUCAUUGAUUUUACCAUCACCAAUAUCGAGCAACCACCUUGAGAACUCGGCGAGAGCAACAGAUUGCUCGUUAUUAACGCCUUCUCGUAAGCGCAUAUUUUGUGUAAGCUUUAAAACUUUACAGCUUUGCCAAAGCAAUGAUGAGUUUAUAGACGCCAACACAGUUGCGACCCUUCCACCCUCAGGAAUUACUGGGAGAAUCUGUCUAAAAUCACCUCCCAAAACUACGACCUUACCUCCAAAAAUCCUAUUGCACUUCAUAAUAUCUUGCAAAGUCCUAUCCAAAGUUUCAAAACAAAGUCUGUUCAUCAUCGGUGCCUCGUCCCAUAUAAUGAGUUUCGCUUCUCUUAUCAAUUCUGCAAGAUCGGACUCUGCAUCUAUCGAGCACAUUGAAUAUUCGUUUAUAUUGAUAGGUAUACCAAACCUAGAAUGAGCUGUCCUACCACCUUCCAAUAGCAAAGCAGCGAUUCCACUUGAUGCAACAUUUAGAACGAUAUUACCUUUAGAUCGAAUGUCAGCUCCAAGGAUACUCCACAAGAAAGUUUUUCCAGUACCACCGAAUCCAUGCACAAAAAACAUUCCACCCUUGUUUUUAUUUACCGAGUCGAUUAUUUCUUGGUAAACACGUCUUUGCUCUUCAGUUAACAUACCAAACAGUCUGUUGUAAUCUUUCUUUUGUUCAUGACGCUUAUAAUUUUUCUCAUCCAUAAUAAGCCGAUUUUCAUUUGAAUUUAUCACACUAUCGUCUGGUCUUGGCAUAUUAGUAAAAACGGAAAGAGAAGUGCCAUUCGAACGCAUAAGCAAUUCGAUUUCCGACAAACAUAUGUUCCGUAUUUGAUCUUGUGUUAACAUAAGACCUGCAUAUCAAUUUGUAUAAUAGAAUUAAGAAUAUUUUUACCAAAUAUGACAAAAAACUCGUAAAAAUUCAUACAUGAAAAAAUAGAACAAACAUUUUUAAUUAAUUUGAUAAUUUUGCAUAAUACUAAUAAUAAUAAAGAUUCCGAUGUACCUUGAUCAUUCAUGCGAUUCCUAUGGAGAAAUAAAAUAUCUUCGCAUAGUAUAUCUCUUGUCGCGAGCCAAAGAUUUAACGGAACAGAUACACUCUUCGAAAUCAAUAGUAUCACAAAUAGCUUCCUUAAGUACUUGCCAAGACACCAGAAACUUGCUUCCUUUAUAGCUGAAAUAUAUUCUUUGUCAUCAUCCAAUAAUCCUAAUGCAUAGCAAGCAUCUUUAAAUUCUCCGUAAAGAACUCCGUUAACCGUUUUCAAGAAUUCGAAACUGGUUGCACCUGGUAUUUUAUUAAGCAAAUCUCUUAAGUAGUAAGCAUCCCCUGUAGAAGGUGGUACGUACGUAAUCCUUCCUAUUGAAAAACUUUUUCUUUUCCUUGAUCUCCGCUUCCAAAUUUUUUCUUUUUUAUACCAUGCAUAAGCGGUCGGAAAUUCAGCAUACGUUAACUUUCUAGCUUCAGGGUCAAUUCUAUUGCAUUCCAUCCAUGCUAAGAAUUUGCUUCCUCCAUUUGUUGAACGUGACAUAACAUUUUCUAUAGGAUCAUCCUUGUUAUAAAUAACCAAUUGCUGGCCAGGAAGAUGGAAGGGCAAUUUUUCAACAGGUGUUGUACGAUAACAUAUCGGGGACGCUAAUAUUCUCCACGUAGCUUCGCAUGCUGAUACAUAUCUACAGAAACGAAUGAUUAAAGUAUGUUAAUGUUACUUUGAACAACAUGUAUCACAGUUAUAAUUUUACUAUAAAUACCUGCAGUUAAAAUAUUGUUUGAUUUCAUUUUCUUCAUCCUCUUCUCCUACUGAUGCUCUAAUAUAAUCUGGACCUUUGCUGAUAUAUUUGAACAGAUAUUUUAUUGACCGUGACUGGUUACACCACUCUACAUUUAUGUGAGCACGAUAACGAAUCGACAAUUCACGAUUAUACGGAAUAACGUAUCUGUUGUCACAGUCGAAACCUUUCUUAUGCACAAUUCUUCCAUCAUCUCUCCGCCUGUAUACUGGAUAACCAGCAUCAUCUAUCACAGUAUUUUCUACGUAUGGUUUUGGAAAGAACUUUGUGCACUUACCAUCCUUCAUGCAAGGACUAUCGUUGUGUUGACGUCCACAAGGUACAUGAAUCAUAACAUCAGAAACAACUUCAUAUAAAUACUUGUCCACUUCUUUGUCCGGUAUUUCGGCACUUAUGAAUUUAUCUAUGUCGUCCGUUGUGCGCAUUUUAAAAUCCGGAUGCAAAAAUAAAACCAUGUGCGCAUGUGGUAGUCCCCUUUUUUGGAAUUCUAUUGUAUACAUAGCUGCGUAAAAAUCAAAACGGCAACGUAACUAUAUUUAUAUUUGUAUAAUAUUAUUAAAAAAUGUAUAUGAAAAUAAGAUACGUACCAGAAUUCAUCGUACCGAAAGUUUUCUCUUUGGUGACUUGAUGCAUGAGCUUAUCUAAUUUCAUCUUAAAAACCCGGCAACAAAUAUCUGGUCUAUCCUCUUGUUUAAGACGAUGUCUAGUAAUAUAACGCACAACUUCAGGCCACUUAGGAUUGCAAGUUAUCGUUAUAAAAAGGUCGGGAAAACCAAAGAAUUUGCAAGUGGCCAUUGCAUCUAAAUAAUGCUGCAUCAUAUACCGUUUUCCUCCAGUAAACGACGAAGGUAUGUAAAUCCUUUUCCCAUGCUCUGAAAGAUCAGUACGUCCUUUAUCAGCAGCUUCGAGUAUCUUAUCUAUUCUUUCUGUCCGAAGUUUUUUUUGGUUCAUCCAAAUAUAAUUUAAUCUGUUUGAUUCUAUAGUCGUGAAGGCAUCCACUAAGAACUGCUGGAAUAAUUUUCCGGACAUGACAAUCGUAGAAGCUUCUCCAUAUCUCUCUAAAAUUCGAUAAGCAUAAAACUCUCUCAUGCUCACGGUUUUCCUUUUCCGUCCAGCAGUAUCUAUAAAACCUAUGUCAAUCCCUAACCGGUAACCGUCCUCUCCAUAUGGAAACAACAAAGGAUAUUGUAAAGGUAAAUAUGCCGGAUGAAGCUCGCUUAUUCUUUGUAAAUUGCCUGAACGACCUUCUAUAACAAUAUCACGCUUAUUCUCACCGCAAUUAAAAUCACCUGGAAUUAAAGCAGCCACCUCAUUGCAGGUAGGUAAAUUAUGAGUUCUCGCAUCAGAAGCUCUAUCCGAAGGCAAACGUAAUUUUAAAUCUUCAACACCGCAAUCCAUAUCGAAUCUCUCUCUUGCUGACCUAAAAGCCCGGACGUGUGGAUUAUGAUUAUCAAGCAUCUUCUUGAUUAGCUCUACAGUGUCAGGCCUCAAAUUUUCAGUCGAUCCAGAUCUUCUAUAAAAACACAAAAAAUAUGAAUUAUUUUUUAUUUUUAUUAGAAAAUUAAAUCGAAACAUUAUACAAAAUAACACAAAGAUGUUAUUAUUACCCGUAUGCACUUAUUCUAUUAGAAACCUCAUUCUGUAUAUCAUGAAUAUAUAGUUGUAAGAACAUAGGUGUUUUCCCCGGUUCUGGCAAAAUAUCACCAAUACGAUGAUAGUUUUCUCCACACAUUUGAAACAGAUAUGGUCCAGCACCAUCAUUAAUAGAAUGGUUAACCUUGCCCCCUAAAGAUGUGAACGAAAAAAUCAUAUUGUAUGCUCUUAUAUUAUCACGAAAGUUGAUACUCCUAUCAUCGUGAUUAUAGAACAACGAUGACAACGUUUUCGGUGGAGGUUUAAGUAAAGGGAGCUUAAUUUUUCCGUGACGACAACACAUUGAAAAAAUUGGCUUUCCUUUUUUGGAUUUUUUAUUCACACGCUCUCCAAACCACAUAUAGGCUCCACAAUUCUCACAGAUAUAAAACGGAUCUCCAUCAUCGUAAUACCCUGCGCAAAGUUUUAAUACAUAAGCAUUGUUGAUAUUGUUAGUGAUUUACAGAUUAUUGUUAUUAUUAUUAUUAGUGAUAGUAAUUCAAUAAGAAUACUAAAAGUGGAAACUAAACGAACCGUUCUCUUGUAAUCCAGCUCUUACAGCCGUAAAUCCGCCGAUUACAUUAUUAGACAUUGUAUUAUCAUCACCAUAUUCGGUCUCAGACUCGUCGGUAGACAUAUCAUUCUCGCUUCCUCUAUUUGACUCCGAAUCAGUAGCAAUAUAACAUACAAAAUCUUCUUGUAAUCCAGGUAGUAGCAAAGUUUCUAUAGAAUGACCAAUAAUUGGUUAGCAUAUUGAUGCAUAUUAUAAUUUAAUGAGUAGGUAUUCUACUCACUUGAACUUUAUUUAAUUAAAGAUAAUGUUACCUUGGUUAUCCUUCUCCGUUUUCCGGGAUCUCAAAACACGCAUUCUAUUCAUCCUUUCGAUUUGACCUACGUUAUUGUGUGUGAUGUCUCCGAACUGGUGAUGUAUAGAUCUAGCUAUAGAGACAUCUGUUAUAGUUUUAAAUUUAAAAACUGGUAACUAUGUUUCGAAUUAACACAUGAAUCAUAAAGAUUAGAAAUUUGCAAAUAUCAUCGUUGUAUAAUUCUUAUUUUGUUUAUAGAUUUCAAAGAUGUAGUUACUCUUUAUUGUCGAACCAUGAGAUACAUCUUUCUUUCUACGGAAUGGAAGCUUUGUAGGUCUCGUUAUGGAGACAUCUUCAAUAGGUUUAAAAACUGGGUAACUAUGUCGAGUGUUAAGACCUGAAUUAUAAAAAUUAGAAAUUUAAAUAUCAUAGUUCUAUAAUUAUGAAUUUUUUAUAACAGUUUCAAAGAUAGAGUUAUUCUUUUUAGGCAUACCAUGAGGUGCAUCUUUCUUCCUCCGAUACGGAAGCUUUUCAGGUCUCAUCGUAUUUGUCUACGUGUAACGACCUGCAAACAAAUUUUAAAAACACCGUAAAUAAUUAUGCUACAAUAAUUAUGUUUAGGUUUAAAACUGGACGAUAGGUUUUAAUAAAUUGUGUAUCUAAUAUAUAACCUCAGGAUGAGGAGAAUCUAUUAUGUGAAAAUUAGCGAUUUCAUGCUUAUCAUAUUAUCGUUUGUAUUGAUCUUAUAAUUUAUUUAAAUUAUUAAUUAACAAAAUUUGUAUAUUUCCAUUUAGUUAUUAUUAUUAUUAUUAUUUACAUUUUAAUGAUCCUUUAAAUUAGAAAUUUUGCCUAUUGUGAUAAACACAAUUGAGUAUUAGUAAUAUAUAUUACUUUUAUUGUCACACCAAACAGUUUCCUAUAACUAUAAAAAUUUAAGAGAUAUUAAGCAUUUAUGGAAUAUUUCUAAUAUCUUACUUGUAUUGUCACACCAAACAUUUUUCUAUAUUAAGGGUAAAUUAGUAACUUCUAAAGUGUAUAUAUUCUUACUUGUAUCGUCUUAUUAAACAUUAAAAUAUUCAUAAUACUUUGUUUAACAUUUUCAUUUUUGCACCAUUAGUUUAUAAUAAUAUUAUGAUAUUUCAAUAUAUCUUCUAAUAAUAUAAACCUAAUACUAAUCAUUAUUAUAUAUAAUAAUAUAGUUUGCGUAAAACCAUAUAAUUCAAUCAAUAUUUAAAGCUUAGAAAGUUUGUAAAAUCCAAGAUAAUAAAGCAUAAUGACCGGAAACAUCGAAUGUUUGAAUACCACAGUAAAUAAUAAAACAAUACUAUGUUGGUUUUUCGGUUUUGAUCUUCUUCCUUGUAAUCAUAUAAUGACUAUUCGCGGAGUCGCCACUCUUUCGAGAAGUUCUCUUCUUCGACGAAGAUGUAACCGAAUCAGCCGAAGAACUUUCGUCUAUUCCAUCGGUAAUUUCCAGAAUCCGAGGAUUGACAUCGACAUUUCCAUAGCUCUCCUAUAAGUCACAACAAUCACCAUGAAUAUAUUACAUAAAAAGACUCUCGUUAACACAAAAUAGCUAAUAUUAAUAUUCGUAACAUUAUACCUUUACAAAUUGUACUAUCAUAUCUUCUUUUCCCCAAAAUUUUUCAACAACAUAAGCAGAUUUGGAACUCUUCAAAUUGUCAUUUGUGAUUGAAACCUUGAACAACAUAGUUUUUCCAAUAAAAGAAGAAAUAGCAAUGGGAAUGCUCGAAGGAUCAUCCUGAAAUAUAUGAAUCAAUUGGUUAAACACCGUUUAUGACAUUCAAUAUGAACAUGAAUGUUUAGAAUUUUACCUCAGCUAACUGUGCAACCAAUUCAUCAGCCUUUUUUCCAAUUAGUAGUUGAGACAGACCAUCAAAGAAAAGCAGUCUAAUACUUGGAGAACUUCCAUAUGAGACAUGUAAUAUCAAUUUAAACCUAAUUUUUGAAAACAAAAAACAUAACUCAAUGAUCUUACUUCGCAGCGUUUUCAUACGUCAUAAGAUUAUAAAGCACAAUCUAAAUGAGUGUUUCUUACUUGCAAUCAACUUCUGUAACAUCUUUAUCGCAAACACCACAGCUGUAUAAUCGUUCUUUUCCGACUUGAGAAUCUAACGGGUAUGGCUGAACUUUUUUAUUACAGGCUUUGCAAGCAAUGUAAUACCAUUUAGGCAGUGCCUCUACGGAAAUAAUUUUUGCAAUUGUAACACAUGUACGCACCUGAAUAUAAACACACGUUUAAUCAUUAAAUAUAUCUUUUUAUUGACGCAUGUAAUUAAAAAAUACCUCUAGUGCAUAAAGUAUGUCGUCUAUUGUCAUCUUUUCAUUGAAUACGAAGAACUCUUCAUAUAGCGUGACCUUUGGAAGUUCAUUUUUAGGCUCAUUAUUAAUCUGAACUAAAUCGACGACCUCGGAUGGCAACCUGUCAAAAAUAAAUAUUCUAAUAAGUAAAUUUAUGUAUACUAAUAACACCUCUGAUAAUCAUGCAAAUUUAAAUUAUCUGAAAGUUUUGACAUUUUAGUAAACUUCUCCACUUCUGUGAUAUUUGGGUUGAACAAAACAUCUGUUGAACCGAAAGAGUUGGAUAUGCUAAAAACUCCUGAAAUUUGAAAAUCGUUUUAAUACGUAAUCGUGAUAAAUAUUGAAAGCAAUUUCUCAUGUACAAUCAAAAUUACCUCUCCACUCCUUAAUGCAUGCAAAUCGAAUAACGCAUACGACGACAGAUUCAUCAUGUUCUUUUAUCGAACCUUCAAAAUUUCUAGCAACAUCACCCCACAGCGUGCAAUUUAACUUUGUACCCCUAUAUAAUAAAAAAAUAGUGAGCUCCUUUUUUGUAAUAAUAAAUAUACUAAUAAUUUACUCUAUAAAUUUCUAAAUUUUAAAAUAUAUUAAUUAUAUACUUUAUACUUUAAAAUAAAAUAAAACCAUACUUCAGAUCUUGCAAUUCGAAAGCUAGUUUCACAUUAUCCUUCCCUUUAGUUUUGAUACUCUCAAGACAGUCGACGUUAACAAUCUGGCCAAUUACAUCUACAUAAACAAUAAAAAAUUAUUACGAUUAGAAAAUUUGUACCUAUUUAUUUACUUAAAAGAGUAUAUAUUACGAAUUUGACAACUCACCGAUCAACAAAUGUCUUUCUGCUUUUCCGGCCAAAAUAUCAGAAAACUCUCGGAAAUAUUUUUCAGGAAUUUUAGUUGGAAAAUCAUCAAACGGUUUGACCGUAGUAGUUCUAUAGAACAACAUCUUAAAACCUAAUGAACUUGUUCUGUAAUCACCAUCAUAAUCAACUAAACCGAAUGUGUCUAUUUGUAACGCCCGUGUCUGGAAAUCCGGGUGGUGUCAAUCGACACUGUGGUUGGGUGUCGAUCGACACUAGUAUUUCUGGUUUGACGGUUUAAGUUUUAAAUCGUCGGUUCAAUUGAGGCUUGGUUUGGGUUGGUUAACCCUAGGUCGUGUUUAAAAGAGGGAAGGUCGUGUGUUGUCUCUUCCCAGCCGCUUUUUAACACUUCCAGAGAGAGAAAAAGGUUCUAGAGCUUUUGAGGGUUUUUGUGAGUCUUUGGUGGUGUUUGGUGGUGUUCCUGGUGGUUUAAGGCUAGUAGAGGCUAGAUCAGUGUUGUGUGGUGUUAGAGGAGACAGAUCCUUCCUUGUUCUUCCUUGUUUUCGUUGCUGUUCUUCUUGUUAAAGAGGUGAGUGCAUGACCAGGCUUAUCUAAGCAUGUUUGAUCAUUGUUUCAGGGUUUUGAUGAUUGAUUGAUUGAUUUCCUUUGCUUGUUUAGCUGUUUAUUUGAUGAUUGAUGCAUGUGGAAUCCUUUGGAGACUCGUUCUUAUCGUGGUGGUCUUUUGGAGAAGAGAUCCAGUGAGAAAAGCAGUUGGAGCGUCUGCUGAGAGUCGGUGUCGAUCGACACCAACGUUUCAUCGCGUGAGGAUAACUGCGUCUUACGAUUGGAGUGUCGAGACCGGUGUCGUCCGCGAGGGUCGAUAGCGAGUGUCGAUCGACACCAGUGGAGGGUGUCGAUCGACACUGAUAGUCAGAAGCGAUUCUGGUCUAUCUUUUAUUGGUUGUUUGGUUCUUUUCCUUGGAUUUUGGUUGAAUGUGCUUGUGUGUAUAGCCAGUGGUGGUAUGAUUGCCUCACUAAGUAUUUAUGAAAUACUUAUGCAUCUCUUUCUUUGAUGCAGGUAAAAGCAAAGUGUGAUCCGUGUAAUCAUGGCGAGAAGAGGAGGAUGAUAUAGGCGCUCAUUGGUGUUUAGAUGAUUGUAUGAUUUGUUAGGAUGCUAGAAUGGAAUUUAGAAGCAUGUUAGGAUGAAUUCGUUUCUGGAAUAUUGAUAGUUGAACUUGUUGGAUUAAUGAAAUGGUUUGAUUGGAUUUUUGUUUAAGUCUUCCGCUGGUUACGUUGAGUUGGUUGUGUUAGUAAAAUUGUCUGGGUUGCUUUAAAGGGGUUAAUCCGGAUUGUUUGCAUGUUUAAAAGAAAAAAAAAACGGGAUGGGUUCUUUCAAUUUGGUAUCAGAGCAUUUACGGUUCUAGUACGAGAUUUAAUUGGUAAAAAUUGUGAUGUGAUGUGUGAAUUUCAUUGAUGAGGAAUGAUGAUGUGGAUUGCAUGCUUAAUGAUUGUGUGUGUAAUCAAUUGUGUGAGCAUUGAGACCUAGAUCAUCCUCUCGAGCAUUCAAUGAGAUUCCACGGUAAGUGUGUUGUUUGGUGAUUUGUUUGGUGUUCUUAGCCUUCUGUUGUGUUGCAGAUGGUUAGAGGUGGAGCUGUCGGUCGUGGUCGUGGUCGUGGUCGUGGGCGUGGUCGCGGUGGGGGGCGUGGUGUUGCCUCGGAUAGCGACACGAGUGUGGGCCGAAGUGCUACGGCCGAUGUUGUUAGUGAGUACCAGACGCAUCAGGACGGGCACGUGGGUGGUGAGAGUGUGAGUGCCGUGAGAGCCGGUUCGUCCCUGAACGGUACUAGUGUUGUUGGGAACCCGGUCGGGGGUGUUCCAACAGGUGAAGCCCAGGGUCAGAAUGAUCGGCUUGCGGAUUUACUGACGCAUCUCUUGGAGCGGUUACCGGGUGCGGUACCGCCGGUGCAGGCUCCUCUUGGGCCUGGUGUGCAGGCUCCUCUUGUACCUGGUGUGCAGGCUCCUCUUGGACCUGGUGUGCAGGCUCAUCUUGGGCCUGGUGUGCAGGCUCCUCUUGGGCCUGGUGUGCAGCCUGUUGUUGGGGUUGUACCGCCUGGGGAGGUAGGUGCGGUGGUCGAGCAGCCGUACUACNNNNNNNNNNNNNNNNNNNNNNNNNNNNNNNNNNNNNNNNNNNNNNNNNNNNNNNNNNNNNNNNNNNNNNNNNNNNNNNNNNNNNNNNNNNNNNNNNNNNGCAGCGGUUCGGGAUGUCCUUGUUCUUCGGAGGUUCCGACCCGGCUGUAGCGGAUGAGUGGCGGGUGAGAUUGGAGCGGUAUUUCCAGUCGAUGAGGUGUCCGGAGGCGUAUCGGGUGGACCUAGCGGCCCACUACUUGGCGGGUGAUGCUCAUUUGUGGUGGCGGAGUGUGCUGGCCAAGAGGGGGCAGGGAUUGGCGGUGUGGGGAGAUUUCUUGGCAGAGUUUAAUGCCAAGUAUUUUCCGGCGGAGGCAUUGGACCGGAUGGAGUCGCAGUUCCUGGCGUUGACUCAGUGCGAGCGGUCGGUGCGGGAGUACGACUCGGAGUUCAGCCGACUCUUGGUGUACUCGGGGCGUGCGGGAGAUCCUGAGCAGAUGCAGGUGCGUCGGUUCAUGAAGGGUCUCAGCCCUGACAUGAGGGUACGGUGCAAGGUGCGGGCCUAUGCAUCGCGUGUGGAGCUGGUUGAGCUAGCGGCGGGGAUCGAGGACGAGUUGAGAAGUCACGGGGUGAUUCCCAGUCCGUCGGCGCAGCCGAAAAAGACCCAGCCACAGUCAGUUCCGAGCAAGGGUGGCAAACCUGCUCAGGGACAGAAGAGGAAGUGGGAUGACACUUCCAGGGUGAGCCAGGGUGAUCGGAGGUGCUUCAGGUGUGGGAUUACGGAUCACAGGGUGGCAAGCUGCCCGAAGAAGGGCGAGCCGUGGGUUGAUACCCGUGUCUGUUACCACUGCAGAGAGACGGGGCACAUCAAGACGAGGUGUCAUAAAUUACAGCAGAUGGCGGUAGCAGCGGUGCAGCCGGUGAUGCAGCCAGUGGUGCAGCAGUGGGUGCAGCCAGGAUUGCAGUUGGCAGGGCAGUCGUUGGCUCAGCUGGGAGCAACGCCGGUUGCACAGAUAAAGGGAUCGAGGGGGUAUACGACCGUGGAGACAGGAGAGCCAAGCACUGGACGGCCGAUCACAGGUUUAAUUCUAAGACUCAUUCUGUUUACUUCCGUUGUUUUAUAAUUUGUGUUGUUUCCUGUGAUUUUGGGGUGGGCGGUCUUAGUGAAAAGGGUUUGUGUAGGGACCCUGUUGGUGGGCGGGUUCAUGUCCCACGUGAUGUUUGAUUCUGGAGAUACGAAUAGCUUCAUUACCCCAGAGUGCGCGACGGGUGGUAACAUACGAGGAGAUCCCGAUGGUUGUUAUGGAGCCGUUAGAGUCGCAGGAGGCGCGUUGCUAGCGGUUCAGGGACGGGCUAGUGGUGUGGAUGUACAGAUUGCGGGAGAGUCGAUGCCGGCAGAUCUGUACAUUAGUCCGGUGGAGUUGUAUGAUGUAAUUCUGGGCAUGGAUUGGUUGGAGCGGCACAGAGUUCAUCUGGAUUGUCACCGGGGGAGAGUAUACUUCGAGCGUCCCGGACCGAAAAUGUAUUUCCAGGGUGUGAGACCGAUUUCGGGGAGUUUAGUGAUUUCGGCGAUUCAGGCGGAUAGGAUGAUCCGAAAGGGGCGGGAAGCUUAUUUGGCUACGAUUGUCAUGCCAGAGACGGUUGAUGAGGUAGUAGUGGAUAAGAUCCGGGUGGUCCAAGAGUUCGAGGAUGUGUUUCAGUCGUUGAAGGGGUUACCACCAUCUCGGUCUGAUCCCUUCACGAUUGAGUUGGAGCCCGGGACAACGCCGUUGUCUAAGGCUCCGUACCGGAUGGCUCCAGCGGAGAUGGCGGAGCUGAAGAAGCAGUUGGAGGAUCUGCUGGGUAAGGGUUUCAUCCGUCCUAUUGUUUCACCGUGGGGUGCACCGGUGUUGUUCGUUAAGAAGAAUGAUGGGAGUUUCCGGCUGUGUAUCGAUUACCGGGGACUUAACCGAGUCACGGUGAAGAACAAGUAUCCUUUGCCGCGGAUUGAUGAGUUGUUGGACCAGUUGAGGGGAGCUAUGUGGUUCUCUAAGAUCGAUUUGGCGUCGGGUUACCAUCAGAUUCCUAUCGACGAGGCGGAUAUCCGUAAAACGGCGUUCAGAAAGAGGUAUGGGCAUUAUGAGUUCGUGGUGAUGCCUUUCGGGUUGACUAAUGCACCAGCGGCGUUCAUGAGGCUGAUGAACAGCGUGUUCCAGGCGUUUCUGGAUGAGUUUGUUAUCAUCUUUAUUGAUGAUAUCCUGGUGUAUUCUAAAAGUCAUGAGGAGCACGAGUUAGACUUGCGGGCAGUGUUGGAGAAGCUGCGCGAGCAGAAGCUGUAUGCUAAGUUGAGCAAGUGUAGUUUCUGGCAGAGAAAGAUGGGGUUUCUGGGUCAUAUCGUGUCUGCAGAGGGAGUUUCUGUGGAUCCAGAGAAGAUUGAGGCUAUCAGAGAUUGGCCUAGACCGCAGAAUGCCACAGAGAUACGGAGUUUUCUGGGUUUGGCAGGUUACUACAGGCGGUUUGUGAAGGGCUUUGCCAGUAAAGCUCAGGCAAUGACCAAGCUGACGGGUAAGGAUGUUCCUUUCGUGUGAACUCCUGAGUGUGAGCNNNNNNNNNNNNNNNNNNNNNNNNNNNNNNNNNNNNNNNNNNNNNNNNNNNNNNNNNNNNNNNNNNNNNNNNNNNNNNNNNNNNNNNNNNNNNNNNNNNNNNNNNNNNNNNNNNNNNNNNNNNNNNNNNNNNNNNNNNNNNNNNNNNNNNNNNNNNNNNNNNNNNNNNNNNNNNNNNNNNNNNNNNNNNNNNNNNNNNNNNNNNNNNNNNNNNNNNNNNNNNNNNNNNNNNNNNNNNNNNNNNNNNNNNNNNNNNNNNNNNNNNNNNNNNNNNNNNNNNNNNNNNNNNNNNNNNNNNNNNNNNNNNNNNNNNNNNNNNNNNNNNNNNNNNNNNNNNNNNNNNNNNNNNNNNNNNNNNNNNNNNNNNNNNNNNNNNNNNNNNNNNNNNNNNNNNNNNNNNNNNNNNNNNNNNNNNNNNNNNNNNNNNNNNNNNNNNNNNNNNNNNNNNNNNNNNNNNNNNNNNNNNNNNNNNGCACCUUGCGGUUGUGUGCUAUUUCUCAGGAGCCACUGGGGUUAGAAGCAGCUAACCGCGCAGACCUUCUGACCAGAGUUCGAGCGGCUCAGGAGAAGGAUGCAGGGCUGGUUAAUGCUUCUAAGGAUACUGAGUCAGAGUAUCAGGUUGCAGCCAAUGGGACUAUCCUUGUGCAUGGGCGAGUUUGUGUGCCCAAGGAUGAGGAGUUGAGACGUGAGAUCUUGAGUGAGGCUCAUGCGAGUAGGUUCUCUAUUCAUCCAGGAGCGACCAAGAUGUACCGAGAUCUGAAUCGGUAUUAUCAUUGGGUCGGGAUGAAGAGGGAUGUGGCUAAAUGGGUCUCUGAGUGCGAUGUAUAUCAGCUAGUGAAGGCUGAGCAUCAGGUGCCGAGUGGAUUAUUGCAGAGUCUCCCUAUUACAGAGUGGAAAUGGNNNNNNNNNNNNNNNNNNNNNNNNNNNNNNNNNNNNNNNNNNNNNNNNNNNNNNNNNNNNNNNNNNNNNNNNNNNNNNNNNNNNNNNNNNNNNNNNNNNNGACUAAGUCUGCACAUUUCUUGGCUAUCAAGAAAACCGAUGGAGCGGUAGUGCUAGCUAAGAAGUAUGUGCAGGAGAUUGUGAAACUUCAUGGAGUACCGGCCAGUAUUGUGUCAGACCGGGAUUCGAAGUUCACUUCGGCGUUCUGGAAGGCUUUCCAGAAGGAGAUGGGUACUAAGGUGCAUUUGAGCACGGCUUACCACCCUCAGACAGACGGGCAGUUUGAGCGGACCAUUCAGACACUUGAGGAUCUGUUGAGGAUGUGUGUGUUGGACUGGGGUGGUCAGUGGGCAGAUCACUUGAGCUUGGUGGAGUUUGCUUAUAAUAAUAGCUACCAGGCGAGUAUUGGGAUGGCUACUUAUGAGGCGUUGUAUGGGAGGCCAUGUCGGACACCUCUAUGCUGGACUCAAGUGGGGGAGAGGAGCAUUUAUGGUGCGGAUUUUGUUCAGGAGACUUCAGAGAAGAUUCGGAUUCUGAAGCUGAACAUGAGAGAGGCGCAGGAUCGGUACAAGUGUUAUGCUGAUAAGAGGCGUAAAGAGUUGGAGUUUGAGGUUGGAGAUAUGGUGUAUCUCAAGAUGGCGAUGUUGCGUGGUCCUAACAGGUCCCUUACCGAGACUAAGCUGAGUCCGAGGUUUAUGGGUCCUUUCAGGAUUGUGGAGCGGGUUGGACCGGUGGCUUAUCGGUUGGAGUUACCUGAGGUAAUGCAUGCAUUUCAUAAGGUAUUCCACGUGUCGAUGCUGAGGAAGUGUCUUCACAAGGAUGAUGAGGUGUUGGCUACGAUCCCGGCGGAUCUUCAGCCUAGCAUGACCUUGUAGGCGAGGCCAGUGAGGGUUCUCGAGAGGCGGGUAAAGGAACUUCGGCGUAAGAAGAUUCCUUUGAUGAGAGUCCAGUGGGACUGUGAUUGAGUCUUGGAGGAGACGUGGGAGCCAGUGGCCAGGAUGAAGGCAAGGUUCCGGAAGUGGUUUGACAAGCAGGUCGAGGAGUAGACCGUUGGCUUUUUUGGUUUUUGAGUUUGGUUUUGGUUGUAUCUCUUUUGUAUUCUCAUUUUUUUGGUGUAAUGAUUAUGACAUUGGAGAUUAAUAAGAUGAGUAUUUCUUGGAUUUGACUUGUUGUGUCAUGUGUAAGAGAAAUAUGUGCGAGUUUCUAAAAAUAGAAAGUGUCGGGUUUGACGGUUCUAUUUUUGGAAAGUCUCGGGGUGGUAGUUAGUAGUGGACCACGGGAGGUAUAUCUGAUCGAGAGAUAUGCUCGGGGGCGUUUAGACUUAUUUGCUCGUAUAUGAUGUGAUGGCCUCGGAUGACGAUUCGAGUGCACGCUUGAGGGUGACGACCCGAGAGCGAGCGUGUGACUUCCCGGAUACCGUAGCUAGAAGGCGGGUGGCCUAAUAGUGAGCCGGUAUGACUUGAGGGUUGCGACCUGAGAGCGGGGGAAGUGGUGAGGCUUCCUGGAUACCGUAGUCUAAGGCUGAGGCCUGAGGACGAGCCGGUAUGAUCCACGGGUUGCGACCUAUGGACGGGGGAGGUGGGUGUGUAUGAGCAAAUAGGGUCUGGAACGCGAGUAUAUUGAUUAGAUAGGGGCCUCGGUGAGGUCAGUUGUGUACUGACGGUUGUGUUGGAGGAUUCGGGGACGAAUCCUAGUUAGUGGGGGAGAAUUGUAACGCCCGUGUCUGCAAAUACGGGUGGUGUCGAUCGACACUGUGGUUGGGUGUCGAUCGACACUAGUAUUUCUGGUUUGACGGUUUAAGUUUUAAAUCGUCGGUUCAAUUGAGGCUUGGUUUGGGUUGGUUAACCCUAGGUCGUGUUUAAAAGAGGGAAGGUCGUGUGUUGUCUCUUCCAGAGAGAGAAAAAGGUUCUAGAGCUUUUGAGGGUUUUUGUGAGUCUUUGGUGGUGCUUGGUGGUGUUCCUGGUGGUUUAAGGCUAGUAGAGGCUAGAUCAGUGUUGUGUGGUGUUAGAGGAGACAGAUCCUUCCUUGUUCUUCCUUGUUUUCGUUGCUGUUCUUCUUGUUAAAGAGGUGAGUGCAUGACCAGGCUUAUCUAAGCAUGUUUGAUCAUUGUUUCAGGGUUUUGAUGAUUGAUUGAUUGAUUUCCUUUGCUUGUUUAGCUGUUUAUUUGAUGAUUGAUGCCUGUGGAAUCCUUUGGAGACUCGUUCUUAUCGUGGUGGUCUUUUGGAGAAGAGAUCCAGUGAGAAAAGCAGUUGGAGCGUCUGCUGAGAGUCGGUGUCGAUCGACACCAAGGGUGGGUGUCGCUCGACACCAACAUUUCAUCGCGCGAGGAUAACUGCGUCUUACGAUUGGAGUGUCGAGACCGGUGUCGUCCGCGAGGGUCGACAGCGAGUGUCGAUCGACACCGAUAGUCAGAAGCGAUUCUGGUCUAUCUUUUAUUGGUUGUUUAGUUCUUUUCCUUGGAUUUUGGUUGAAUGUGCUUGUGUGUAUAGCCAGUGGUGGUAUGAUUGCCUCACUAAGUAUUUAUGAAAUACUUAUGCAUCUCUUUCUUUAAUGCAGGUAAAAGCAAAGUGUGAUCCGUGUAAUCAUGGCGAGGAGAGGAGGAUGAUAUAGGCGCUCAUUGGUGUUUAGAUGAUUGUAGGAUUUGUUAGGAUGCUAGAAUGGAAUUUAGAAGCAUGUUAGGAUGAAUUCGUUUCUGGAAUAUUGAUAGUUGAACUUGUUGGAUUAAUGAAAUGGUUUGAUUGGAUUUUUGUUUAAGUCUUCCGCUGGUUACGUUGAGUUGGUUGUGUUAGUAAAAUUGUCUGGGUUGCUUUAAAGGGGUUAAUCCGGAUUGUUUGCAUGUUUAAAACAAAAAAAAAAACGGGAUGGGUUCUUUCACUAUUAUCUUCGUAUCACCAACAGCAAGCUGAUGCUGAAAUUUAUUAACCAAAGACUCCUCAAUAGAUGCAUGGAUCCUUGUUCCCUUCGAUGGAGAAGAUAGUAUUAAACAAAAAGUUUGAUAUAUAUACACAAAUUCAUCAUAUAUUUAAUAACACAUGUACAAUGUAACUUAUUGAAUCACAAGAAUUAAAAUAGACGUGAAACUAACAUACCUCUGUAUCAAUUAGAACCAUCUCUAGAGUCUUAAAUGAUUUCCAAAUCCUCAUAACACGCACUUUGAUCUUGUAUUGAUCAUUGGCAGGAUUGAUUUCGCUAGCUAGAACAAAAGGAGAAAUUCUUAUUUUUUUAGAGUCCAUGAUGAAUUAAUAAUAGUUGUAAUUUUUAAGAACAUGGUUAUGCAUAUUUAUAGUUAAAUUAUCUAACAGUCGGUAAUAUUGAAUAGAUUAUGAUAAUAAUGGAUUAUUUACUUAGAUUUAAUUAUGAGUAAAAUUUAGAACAUGAUAAGUACGUAAAGAUUCUAAUAUCAUUGAAUUGGAUAUAGAAGUUUAAAAUUUAUCUUUUCCAAAUUCAUAUAAUAUUUCCUGAAUUUUCGUGGUGUUAUUGUUAUAUAUAUAAAUAUAUCAUCAUGUAUUUUUAAUUUUUUAAUCUCUUUAAAAAACAUAAAUAGUGUAAAAUUUAAAGUAUGUUUGUUAAAUUUCCAUUUGUUAUAAUUGAAUGAUUCCUCUUCUUGUCUAUUAUGAACCAUCUAAAAAAGAGAUUAAUUAACAGUUUACCUUAUUUAAAUAUUUUAAAAUAUGUAACUAAUAUGUCUGUUCUUUAUAAGAUAUUUUCAUGGGAAAGUUAACAUUUUAGAAUAAAAGGCUAAAUCUGUUAUGAAAUAUGAUAAGGGAUUAUGUCUACAAAGAUUUACAUACAAUUUUAUAUUACAAUAUCUUUAGUCUAGUAUUUUGAUAAGUAUAUAUAUAUAUAUAUAUAUAUAAAUUUUCAAACUUUAAUUUUGCAAAGAUUAAUAAUAACGAUGUUAUUUUAAUCAACUAUAUGCUUAAUAGUUUUACUAUUAAUCCGUAAAAUUUAAAUAAAUAUAGAUCAUCAUUGAAAACCUAGCAAACUUUAAUAAUCGACGCGCUGAUCAUUAGAUCAAAAAAAAAAAAAACAAAGUCUGAAUUAAACUAUAUCAAACUUAAAAAUCUUCAUCUUCCAUAUCAGCAAAUGCAUCUCUCAGCUGCGUCACGUGCGGACACAAUGGAUUUAUCAUUACGCUCGUACAAUUAUGCACCGUUGAAGCUCUCCAUGUUUCUACAUUUGUUAUUAAGAUAUGUACAAAAAUUAGAUCCCCAUCUUUUUAUACAAUAUGUUAGAGCUAUCGUAAGUAAAGAUCUAGAAGUAGGAACAACCUUGGUUAAUCUCGAGUUUAGCAAACCUCAUUACACAUAUAAUGAUAUUGUCAAUCGAAUGUCUCCAAGCAUUAAAGAAAUCGUUCGCGUAUGAUGUCGCUAAACGACAUGGUAAUCGAUCACCCCUUGAUUAAUAUUGUAGAAGAUUAGAAGUUGCAAUAUACGAUAUUCAAUAUGUAAUAUGUAUAAGAUAAUUAGUCAACAUACUCAAGAUCUUCUAACUCAAAGAAUAUCUCGUUUCAGUCGUUGCCUGGAGGACCAUGUUGGUUACGAUUCCCUACAGCCAUUACUCGUCCAAUGAUAUCUACACAUAUAUAUAUAUAUAUAUAUAUAUAUAUAUAUAUAUAUCUAUAUUAUUAAGCCUCUGGAAAUAUAGAAUUAGACUAUGAAUAAGACAAUAUGGCAAUAUAGAUUAAAACGUACCAACACAGUAAGUAGGGUCAAGAUAUCCACUCUUGAUAUCACUAAAAGAUACGAAUGAAUAAAAAUAUUCAGAACUCAAAGAAGCAAUAUUCCUGAACCAUGUCGUCGAUCUCCAAUGUAUCAUAAAACGAUGAUCAGUUGGUCUAAAAGCACCAAUAACUCUGCUCAUUGAAAAUCCUGAAAUUAAUAUCCAAUUUCCCUCAUGAAGUCUUUGUGUAAAAACGUCUUCAAAUUCUUGACCCAUCACGGCAUGAAUUUUUUGACCCUAAAAUACAAACAAAUAAAUUAACUCGAUCUUGUAGCAAAUAUAAAAUAAAAGUAAUAUAAGAUCGUUAUCUAUUAGAAACCUAAAACAAAAAAGAAGUAGCGUAUAAACACAGAAUUCAAUACUCUAAUUCAGAAGCAUACCUUUCCAUCUACUAAAAUAAGAUCGAGUGAAUUGUAAGGAGGAGUAGUACACGUAAAUUUCCUCAGAAUCUUAACUUUUAUUUUCCACUCAUGUGUCAAUGGAUUCAAAGUAGACACAUCAAAGAAAUUAUCUUUUUUCCCUAUCUUUUUCUUGAUAGCAUUAGAAAGUAGGUUAGCCAUCUUAAUAUUUUGAAGUUUCUAAUGCAAACUCUUAUUCUGAAUAUUUCGAUAUAAAUAGAGUUCGGUAUGGUAAAAUAUAUGUAUAUUUUACAUUUAUUUACGUGUGAAAUAUUCUCAUCUAUAAUAGUUUUGUUAUAAAUAAUUUUUUAGAAUGAUAAUAAUUAUCAUACGAAAUUUAUUCAAAAGAUUUAUUAUUUCUUGGAUGAGAUAACAACACAUAUCUUACAUAAUGAUGAAACGGAAAAUACUUAACAAAUUUAAAUUACAGAAAUAGAUUAUUAUUCCUCAUCGGAGCUGUCAUCUUCAGGAUUGACCUCUGGUUGUUCACCCCUGUGUACAAUUAAAUUAGUAAGUAAUUAUUAAUAUUGCAUUUAAUUAUUACAUGUUUUACAAUAAACUACGAAAAAGGUAUUGUCAAAUGUUAAACUUACAACAAUGUCUCAAAGUUCAUUUCCAUGAACUCUAUAUUAAGGAAAAUUCUUGAACAGCCAUAUUGAGAAAUUAGAGAUGGGAUACCUAUGUAAAUCAUAGAAUAAUGAGUAGCUAAGUUUUAAAACAGACAGAAAAUUAUACACUAAACAUGUGAAAUAAUAUUAUAGACAAAGAUUUAAUAAUGUAAGAAUAUUAGUACUAACCUUCAUACACAGAGAUUCUCCAAAAACGCAAAACACACAUUAUAGAUUCCUCAGCAUCAUCAUCAUAAUCUAUAAGAAUUUGCUCUAAUUUGUUUUCAAAUUCUUUUGCGGAUUUUCCCACCGCAACACAGGUUAUUUCUUUUUGCCUAAUCAUAAAACUACAUGUCAGUCUAAUAUAAGUUUUUAUAAAAUCUCAAUAUAUAGGCAAUUCAAAAUAUGCUCACGUUUCAUCCGUAAGGGUGAAGGGCACUACAUUUUCGGUAUUAGAGUAGCCAUUUUGUUCGUCUAUAAAUGUUACUUCACGAAUCUGUGAAACAUUAGAGACAAUACCGCUAGCAUCUGUACACAAAGUAAGAAGAAAAUAUUUCAGAACAUUUCAAUUUAAUUUUUUUCGAUAUUGUAAAUGUAUUAAAUAUACAGACUAUAAGUACACAUACCUACACAAUACUUCCUAUCUUCCACAUGAGAAUUUUGAAGCUGCGUGCAUGUAACAAAGUUAAAAUAAGAACUCCUAUCCUUCUCUUCCACUUCGCGCAUUGUUGUUUGGUAGAUCGUCCUUAUUGUCAAGUGAUGGCGAGAAUUUUUAACUUGUAAAUUAUUCUCCAUAACUUGAAAGUUGGAAAGUAGAUACCACUUUUCCUCAACAAUGAGAUUAUGGAAUGGUGAUGCGUACCGAAUGUAUGGAAUUGUUGCAUCAAUCCUACAACCCUGUGUUAUAAAAGAAUAAAACAUUCAACGUUAGAAAAUAACUAUAAUCAGCAUAAUAAAGCUAAACGGAAAAUAUGUAUAACUUAUUCACCUGUUGAUCUACUAAUAUCAUGUUCUUCCUCUUCCCUUCCGAAUCAACCUUCGGCUUCCAGACAGCCAAAAGUUUAACAAAUACACUCCAGUUAGUAGAAUUCGUAGAGAUAUCAGCGAACAAAUGUUGUCCUGCCAUCUGCUUAAGAGAAUAAUAAUUUGUAGGCAAAGUUGAGAAUGAUAUUUGUUUAGCUCAGUCAUCUUCCUCGAAGGUGUUUAUAUAUAACGAAACCAGUAGAGUUAUUAGCCGUUUCAUUUCAACCUUUUCAUUAACUUACAAAUAAAUGAACGGUCAACAAAAUUAAAACACUAUUGAAUUACUCUAAAAUCUCAGCCUAUACUGACAUUGCUUUGAAUGACAUAUGCAUGUAUCUUUAACAUGUGAAUUCGCCUCACUUGUCAUUCCUAUAAACCAAUAUCAUAUUUUUUAAUAUGCUCGUUAUAAAUCAAUUUAUCUUUGCAAAAGGAGGAAAAGGUAAAGAUAAGGUUUUGAGAUCUUAUGUAGAUUUCAAUGUGUAAAUACAACAGUUUAUAGAUAUCGUUGGCACUUCACGGGACAAAUAAGAGGUAUUUAUAAUUGUCUAUAUCUAUUGAAAACUCCUAGAUCAUCCUUCGAUUUACUAUGUUGCAUGUGAACUUGUAAAACUCUUUCCUUUUAUAAAACAAUAGUACAUAGAGGAUGAUUUUGCUAUAAUCAAAAAGAGGCCAAUCAAUGAUAAAAGAAUUGCAUUAUUAAAUUUCAUGAGAUUAUUAUUCAGAUAACGUGUUUGCUCGUUUUAAAUUUUAAUUGUUAGAGAUGUUAUAAGAUUAACAUAUAAGAUUUGGUUUCACUUUUUUAAACUCCAUCGGUUCGAUGAAAGCAUAACUUACAUAGUAACUUCAUUGUACUUCUAUCCGUGUAUACCAUUUCGAUUUACUCAAUCAUAUUAUAUCAAACGCCAUGACAAAUGAAGCUAUCUAUAUUGAAAUCUCCAAGGUCACCAACUCGAUUUACUAUGCUGCAUGUGAUUCAUUAAAACCCUAUCCUCACAAACAACAACAGUCCAAACUGCCAGAUUUAUUGUUUCACGUGAAAGACUUACAUUAUUAGAUAGGAAUCAUAUCGAUUUGUGAAAAAAAUUAACAACUUUAUAUCAAAAACAUUUAAUAUAUUCGAAGCUGCGGUUUGGGGAAAAUUUCAUAAUUUUAAAUAGCAUAUAAAACGGAAAACAUGAUAUGAGAAAGACGUAUAAUUGAGUAUUUAAAAGAGAAGUCAUGAAGUGUAAAGAUUAAAACCAAACUGAAUUAUGAAAAACAUGAAAAACGAAUUUAGCGAUUCUCUUAAUCAUAGACGUUGUCUACUUAUGCGGGUAGACCUCCUUGGAUUCCUAAGAAAAUAAGAUAUGAAACAAAACUAUAUUAAUAACAUAACAAAGAUUAACUAUAAUUUUUGUUGAUGCAAAUACACUUACAUUACUACGAAGUUGUCCACCUCCGGAAUAUUUGGAUUGAGUCUUACUUGGGUACAAAUGGUGUUAGACACAGUUCUUUUUCCUAUAAUAAGAAUAACAUUUUUAAAAUAUAUUAAAUAACAAAUAUACUAUACUAUCAUAGAUAAAAUACGUUAUCUGAAUAAUAAUUUUAUGAAUACGUACCUUGAAAAACGUCUAUUACUCCCCAUCGAAUCACACAAAUGAGACUUUGGUUUUGCAAAACUUUGUAGGCCUUAUAGAAGUUAACGGCCGAUGAUCCAGUCAACUCACAUCCUAAAAUGACUCCACUAUAUUGGCAACAUCACAAAUAAUCAUUAGCAAUAUAUAGUCAUACCAAAUACAUUUAUAAUAAUGAUGAUAAAAGAACUAUAUUAAAUAUUUGCAUAGUUAGAAACAAAAAACCUGGUGUUUCGAAGUUCAAAAGAAAUCUUAUGAUGUUCAGAAUAAUCUUUUUUGUUAUCAACCUCUUCGUCGACAUUUUGAUUAUCAAUAUCGUCUUCUUCUUAGUCGACAUCUUCAUUAGAUUGACUCCCAUUAUAUUCCUCCUCAUCAUAAGUUUCUUCUUGUGUAUCAUUAUAACCAAUAUCUUCUUCGUCACUACCGCUAUCAUCAUAUCCUUCAGUUUCGGUUUCUGUUUCAUCGUCUUCAUGAUCUUCUUCUUCAGAACUACUACUUUCGCCGUAUCCAUCACUCCCAUAUUCACUAUCUUCCGUAUCCAUAAUCUCAUAAAAACCUUCAUCUUCAACAUCCUCCUCUUCUUCAGAUUGCUCAUAGUCCUCAUCCAUUGCAUCUCCUUCAUCGUCAAUAUGAUCAGUGUAAAUACUAUCAUCGUCAGAAUCUUCGAAUUCAUAAUCAUUAUGACGACGAACCUUGGAAGUACAUCCAUUGUUGGAAAGUCCAUCUCGGCAAAUAAACUUGAAGAGAUGUUGAAUAUGAACGGAUCUUGAUCUAGACACAGAUUGGACGAUUUUUUUCUGCUCACUAUCGUUGUUUACAUGGUCCCAAGUAUCAAACUUUCCUACGUAAAUAACUUCUCCAAUGAUAUCUAAUAAAUUAAAAAAAUAUAUAUAAUUAUUAUAAAUAUAAACCCUAAUGUAAAAUAACAUAGGAAAGAGACAGAAACCAUAGUUUCACUUAAUCUUAAAACACAUCAUUAUAAUAACUUACCGACCACGUAAUCAUCACAAUGAGUACCAUCCAAUAUAUGUUUAUAAUCGAUAAAUUCAAAGUACUCUCCACCUGCAAUAAUCGUAGCCUUCUUAAUCAUGGUUUGACACAAAAUAAUAACUUUGUAUCGAUGAGUAGUGGUUUUGCAAGACCCAUAUUGAUCCACCACUUUGAAGUUUUCGAUUUCAAGCCAAUCACCAACAGCAUAUUUUGAAAUAAAUCUAUCAUAAAGAAUGCCACGGAAGGAACACUGAACCUUUUCACCCUACAAAAAUUGUUAGAUACUGGUUAAGUAAGAUUAUGGUAUCAAUUCGUAAUAUUUAUGAAUAUGUAAUUUAUUAAAUUAAAUUUUAAAUCGCAUGUUAUUCAAACAGCUAUCAAACCUGAAUAUCAACUAAAACCAUCUCCAAACUUGGUCCAAGUUUCAAAAAAUUAUCCUCCCAUAAACACAACACUUUAACCUGAAUUCUCCAGCCAUAUUUCGAAGGAUUCAAACGUGAUACACCAUCAACAGCAUGAAUGUUCACCAUAAUGAAACCUGAAUAAGAAUAGAAACAAAUCUAUUUAGGUAUUGAAAAUACUAACUGAAUUAAUUUUUUUAUUAAAAACUGAGUAAUGAAAACAAAAUAAAAACCUAAUUAAUCGUUGGAGCUAUGAAAACUUGAACAAUGAAUGGUCAUAUAUAUAUAAACAAAAAUAAUCGUUUAAUAUAUGUAUAAUUAUCAAUAUGAAUAAUGUCCUUUAUUAAUAUGAACAUUUAUCUUUAACUUAUAUAAAUCUUUUACUUUUUAUAAUCUGAUCGACUUACAAUUAACAUUAUAAAUAUGUAAAAUUUAUAAUUAUCUUAAUGUAAAUUUUUUUAAAAAAUACGAUUAGGAAAAUCUGAGACAGUGUAUAAAUAAAAAAGCAAAUAUAUAGUAUAUAUAAUAGGCAAUAUUGUGAAUUACCCUAUAUUGAACCACUAAUUACUAACAUAUUUAUCGUUUUAUAUAUUGUUAUAUAACCUUAUAAAUUUCUGGUAUAUAUCGGAUAUGUAUUUCAAUCAUAUAUUUAAUAACUUGGAUAUAUACAAUAUAUUUUGUAGAUAUUCACUAACUUGAAUAGAUACAAUAUAAACAAAUGAUUUUUUUUUUUGGAUUAACUUAUAUAAGCUAAUCAAGAUAUUUAUCUCUAUCCUUUUCAGAUUUAAUAAUUAUACCUUAAUAUUUUUAUCCAACGUUAAAAUUAAUUAGUUUUAAACAUAUGUUUAUUUUUUAAGUUACACACUUAUUGCAUAUCAAGAAGAUGUAAUAAAGAUUUCUUAAAUAUUUUUCAACUAUAUUAUCAAACAGUUUGAUAUAAACAUCUCAGUAAUUAUCACUUGUUUAUCAAAAGUGAAUAAUAAUAUGCAAGUUUCGAAAUAAUAAUUCAGAAAUUACUCGUUAUAAAUUUCUUUAACAAUAUCAGAAUAUUAAAUUCUUGAGUAUAGGGUUUGCUAAUGAUGUCUAAACUUGAAACUUAAUUUAAUUAGUAAUAAAAAAGGGUAAAAAAAAAAACAAAAACAUUAUUUUUACCUAAUAAAUCUAAGAUACAUCAUAAAACCUAAAAAUACAAUUAUAAGGAUGAACAAAACUUUUUGGAUUCGUGGCUUUCUUCUUUUUUUUUGGAAACCCUUGCUUCCACCUAUUUUCUUUAGUAAUCCAAAAAAACACCCNNNNNNNNNNNNNNNNNNNNNNNNNNNNNNNNNNNNNNNNNNNNNNNNNNNNNNNNNNNNNNNNNNNNNNNNNNNNNNNNNNNNNNNNNNNNNNNNNNNNCUCAUAUUUGUAUAGCUUUGCUUCAACAUCUAUUGAAUUGGCUUCCAUCCAACUUUGAAAUUUAGAUCCACGAUUUGUAGCUAGCAAUGUAGAAUCUUCUUUGAUAUCCUCUAUAAAAAAAUAAUAUUUUCAAAAACUAAAUUAGAAAUCCUGCUGAAGAAUCAAUAUAUAAAUUAAACCCUAAAUAAUAUACCUAACCCAAAAAAUGAUGUAACCAUAGACAACAAUGUAUAAUUAAUUGACAUUGCAUCACAAACAACAACUACACGAUAUAGAAAACAGUAAUUAGAGUAAGAUAAACAAAAAGAAGAACAAAGAUGAGAAUAAUAUAUAAAUUAAACCGAAAAUAAUAUAUCUAAUCCAAAAGGUGAUGUAACCAUAGACAAAAGUGUAGUAUUACUUGACAUUAUAUCCCAAACAACCACUACACGAUAAAGAAAACAGUAAGUAGAGGACGAUGAACAAAAAUAAGAACAAAGAUCAGUACCAAAAUAUAAUUCCGCGAACAUGAUAUAAAAGUUUAGGUUUAGUUUUUUUGUUUUAGUUAUGGGGAGACCAUUGAAACUCUAAUAUUUAUAGUAGCAGACUUUUUUUUUUUCCUAGGGUUUCAAUUUGAUACGGUUUUUUUUAACGGGCUUUUGGAAUAAGCCCGUCUCAUCUAAACCCUAAACCUAAAACACUCUAUAUCGUUUUUUUAAACUAAUUUCGGUUAGGGUUUUAAAAUUUCUAAUCUUGAUUGUUAGGUUUUGAUUUAAAAAGAACUAACUAAAACUUUUAAUCAGGGGUAUUUUUUCAUUAAGGGUAAAACGGUAACCCGGUCUCAACUUAAUUUUCGUUUUUGUCNNNNNNNNNNNNNNNNNNNNNNNNNNNNNNNNNNNNNNNNNNNNNNNNNNNNNNNNNNNNNNNNNNNNNNNNNNNNNNNNNNNNNNNNNNNNNNNNNNNNCAAAUUGCCGGAUUUUUUUUUUUUUUUAAUUAACUAAGGAUUAAGGAAAAGAUUACAACUAAGGGUAUUUUUCAUUAAGGGUAACUUAGUAAUAUUUUUGUGAGAUUGAAUGUGAGCACUUUCGACUACUGCUUUAAUAAUAUAGAUUUUAAAAGUUUUAUAUAUAUGAACCUUUUAUUUAUAAUAUUUUGAAACUAUUUGAAAUUUUAAAUAUGCUCAUGUAACAAUGGUUUUAAUAUUGGUCAUACUUAUAAUGAUUUUAAACCGUUGUCCAAAAUAUUUAACCGAGUGUAGUUGAGUAUUAUAUGUCCGUUUUGAAAAAUUCAAAUUGCAACAUAUGCAAAAAAAGUUAAAUUUUUAUUAAAUAUUUAUAUUAUAUAGUAUAAUAUCAUAAAUUAAAAAUAAUAUCAAACAAAAGUGAAAGAAGAAUAAUAUUUUUUAAAUAGAUUGUAUUAAAUUAGUUAGAUAUAACUAAUUUAAAUGAUAUCAACCAUAAUAGAAAUUGUUGAAUUGGAAAACCUAUUAUAAACAUGAUUAACCAAAGAAAAAUCUAUUGUAUUUAAAUUAGUUAUCAACCAUAACUGUAUAAAUCAUUUUUAACUAAUUUACUAUAAAUAUUUGAAUCAUAUAAAUACCUUUAUUUCAUAUUAUAAAUAAACAUGAUUUGAUAUGGUAAGAAAAUAUACAAUUUUGUUUAUAAUAUUAUCUAUAUCAUGAUCAUCAAAUAAUAGAAAUUGUUGAAUUGGAAAACCAAAGUUUAUAAUGAGAAAGUCUUAAAGAUGGUAUUUAAAAGAAAUGUAACCAAAGUCAUACUUGCAGAAAAUGAAAAGAAAAAAUUUAAAGGUUCUUGAACACUUCAUUGAAGACCAGAUUGGUUGUCAUUAGUUUCUGCCAUUUUUUUGAUAGAAAAAAUGUGUUUAUCGCUAAUAAUCUUUUGGGAGGAUUAUACACCAUCAAUAGAUUCUUCUCUUAUUUAUAUUAAUACUAACGGAACUUAGAAUAUUCUUGAUAUUUUUUAUUUUCAUAUAUUUAGUUGUUAAUGUUUGAUAUAGUUUUGAAUUUCAAAAUUGUUAGGUAUGAUUUUUGGGUUUAGGAAACAAAAUUAAUCGUGAUUUGAUGAAUCAAAACUAAUGAAUAAAUUUUUUGCUAUAUAUUAGGAAUGUAUUUUUAUGAGUGAUUAUAUUAUUUAAUCAUCUCUAGCAAAAUAUUCGUUGAUGAUGACUUAUUAAAUUUUAUGAGUUUAAUUUAUUUAUAUAAUUGUUUCUAUAAUUAAGGGAUUUGAAGUAAUGAACAAAUUGUUUGCUAUAUUUUAGCAUAACACUAAAAUUUCCAUCGAUGCUGGUUCAUCUAAUUUUAUGAGUUUAUUUUUUUAUAUAAUUGUUUCUAUAAUUUAGGGAUUCGAAAUAAUUCAUAAACUGUUUAAAUUUAGCUAUGAAUGUUUAUUAUGGUUUUGAAUUUCGAAAUUAUUAGGUAUGAUUUUUUGGUUUAGGAAACAAAAUUAAUCGUGAUUUGAUGAACCUAAACUAAUGAAUAAAUUGUUUCCUAUAUAUUAGGAAUUUAUUUUUAAGAGUGAUUAUAUUAUUUAAUCACAUUUUAAAAUUUUCGUUUUUAAUCUACUAAUUAAAUUUUAUGAGUUUAAUUUAUUUAUAUAAUUGUUUCUAUAAUUAAGGGAUUUGAAGUAAUGAACAAAUUGUUUGCUAUAUUUUAGCAUAACACCAAAAUUUUCAUCGAUGCUGGUUCAUUUAAUUUUAUGAGUUUAUUUAUUUUAUUGUUUCUAUAAUUUAGGGAUUAGAAGUAAUGAAUAAAUUGUUUAAAUUUAGUUAUUAAUUUUUAUUAUAGUUUUGAAUUUCGAAAUUGUUAGGUAUGAUUUUUUGGUUUAGGAAACAAAAUUAAUCGUAAUUUGAUGAAUCUAAACUAAUGAAUAAAUUGUUUGCUAUAUAUUAGGAAUGUAUUUUUAAGAGUGAUUAUAUUAUUUAUUAAACCCAAAAUUUCGUGAAUGAAGGUUCAUUUAAUUUUAUGAUUUUCUAAAAUUGUUUCUAUCUAAAAUUGUUUGCUAUAAUUUAGCUAAAUUUGUUUCUAUUAUUUUGGUUAUGUAGUUUUCUUAAAAAUAGAUUGAUUUUGUUUUACCUUUUUUUAUUGUAUAAACUAUGAUUGACUUAUACAAAAUGCUUCCAUUUUAAUAGUAUAGAUACUAAUAACCAAAAUCAAAACAAAGAGAACAACAACAACAGAGAAGUAGAACUUAAUAGCCCACCAAGAACAAGCAUACCUUCUCCUAUCAAAAGGUCUGAAAAAUCAUAUAAGAAUUCUAUAUGUGGUCGAGAAGACAGAGAGAACCGAGAUUCAGUUCUGUAUGUUGCAAACAUGUAAUAAUAAUUCUAUAUGUGGUCGAGAAGCAACAUGAGCUAUUAAAUAAAACAGAUGCCAAACUCGCAAAUCAGAUCAGUAUACCUCGGUUAUAAAUGUAGUAAUGCUGAUGGUACAUGAUCCUUCUCCUUUUUGAUAAUUGUGAGGAAGUCCUCUUGAUCAAAUCUUCAUGAACUAUAGAGAACAUCAAUGACCUGCAAAGACAAUGUUUAUAUACUAAUAACUAAAAUCAAAACUAAGAGAACAACAACAACAGCAGAGAAGUAGAAACUAAUAGCUCACCAAGAACAAGCAUACCUUCUCCUAUCAAAAGGUCUGAAAAACCAAUGGAUUUGUAAUAUAUAGUUAAGCAAAAGAGGAAUUCUAACACAGGAAUACACAAAAAAUCAUAUAAGAAUACUCAUUACAAAACCGAAGAGAGGAAUACUAACCAAAUACGUGAAUCAUAAGUCCAACAUUGGCUUCCAUCAAUCGUAUAUACAUCAUACACUUAUCCUAAAAACACUCUUACAUAACACCAGCUCUUUUCGGGUUUCGGCAAAGGUUAAUAACUCUUUCUUGCUAGGGUUCCAAACUACAGGGGCUCCUGGUACUUGAAAACAGAUCAAGCCAUGGACAGAUUCAGUAGGGGGCAAGUAACAUAACCAAGUACAAAUCUUCAUUAUCUAACACUGAAUACAAAAAACCAUAUAAGACGACAUACAGAGUAAGACAGAGAACCACAAAUACUUUGUUCAAAACAAAGAGAUGAAUAAUAUAUAUAAUACGUGACUCACAAGGCUAUAACAUGUUUGAUGAUGAACUAAAAAUUACACAAAAUGGCUUGCAUUUGCAUCAGCCAUCAAUCAAAUCGUAGAUGCAUAUACACCCUAUGAGAUUCAGUUCUGUAUGAGGUCGAGAAGCAACAUGAGCUCAGUAGUAAUAAAAUAAAACAAUGCCAAUGGAAACUCGCAAAUCAGAUCAGUAUACCUCAGGUUAUGAAUGUAGUAAUGCUGAUGCUACAUGAUCCUACUUGAUCAAAUCUUCAUGAACUAUAGAGAACAUCAAUGACCUGCAAAGAAGAGAACAACAACAGAGAACAACAUCAAAGACAAUAUAUAUAUACUAAUAACACUAAAAUCAAAACAAAGAGAACAACAACAACAGAAAAGUAGAAACUAAUAGCUCACCAAGAACAAACAAACCUCCUCCUAUCAAAAGGUCUACAGACCAUGUCUCAAGGACUACUAACCAAACACGUGAAUCAUAAGACCAACAUUGGCUUCCAUCAAUAAUCGUAUAUUCAUAUACACUUAUGAGAUUCAAUGAAGACACAAAUCGAAUAAAAUCAAUUGCUACAUAAUAAACUCCUAAAAAUUGGAUAAAAGUUCUCAACUUGUAAGACACAAGACAUCAACAACAAGACCAUAUCCAGCACACAGAGGAACAAGAAUAGAUAGAGCGUUACCUUGAAGGGAAAAAAGGAAGCAAGAAGAAGAUUCCAACACGAACCAGAAGAAGAGGAACCAAAAGCCUCGAUCAUCAUGUCUCAAGCCUCAGCAUUCUAUGAUCGCCAUGUUUGCAUAUCUUGAUCAUCAAACCGAAUCACACUACAACAAAUCAACCAGAGAAAAUCUAUAAAGGUAGAAGCUUUACACCAACGAUGAAUCAGAGAAUCGAAGGCGAUGAGGGUUAUGCUUUGUUGUUCGACAAGAGAGAACGAACUAAGGAGAUUGAUUUGUAGGGUUUCGAAGAAAAAGAAGAAGAAGAAGAAGAAACAACGGAGAAGAAGAAGUGAGAAACAGAGAAGAAGCGUUGAGUUGAGAGAAACAGAGAAUUUUGAUUUCUCGAUCAAAACGGAAAAACGGAGAAGAAGCGUUGAGUUGAGAAAAUUAAAGAGUAAAUUUUUAAUAUUUAUAAGCAAAAUUAAUUAAAAGAAAAGGAAAUUGAUAAUAUCACAAUCACAACGGUUAUAUUAUUAUGAGUUUAAGGAAAUCAAUACUAAGAUUUUGUUUCUGUUAAUUUUUUUCAUCACAACGGUAACAACUUAUUAACUUCAAUUUGUAGAACAUUUUGAACCUUGUUAAUUUUAAAAGAGAAUUUAGCGAAAAAGAUAUAUGUUUAAACUUUGAACUGUCAUUUUAUACUAUUAAUUCACUGAAAAUUACUAUAACUAUUUUAUUGACCUAUUCUUAUUUUUCAUAUUUUUUCUUCAUUAAUAUAUAGUGUUUCGUAUUUCUAUAUAGUAAAUCUUUCGUAUUUCUUUUUCAUUAACAUAUAGUGUUUCGUAUUUCUAUAUAUUAGUGAAGAAAAAAUACGAAACACUAUAUAUUAAUGCGUUGUUCACGACAGCAAGGCUUCAUUAAUAUUAAUGAUCAUUCGACAGUAGUGUUUCAUAUUAAUAUAUAGUGUUUUGUAUAUAUAGUGUUUCGAAUAUAUAGUGAAAACCUAUAGUGAAAAAGCACUAUAUAUGUUCCGUAUUUCUAUUUCGUAUUUUUUCUUCAUUAAUAUAUAAUGUUUCGUAUUUCUAUAUAUUAAAACUUUCGUAUUUCUAUAAUAUUAGUGAAGAAGACAUACGAAACACUAUAUAUUAAUGCGUUGUUCAUUUUUAACAAUUAAGUGUUAAUGGCCUAGUGGUUAUGUAGUUAGUAUAGAAGUGGUUGGUCAAAGGUUCGAGCCUUGCUGUUGUGAAUAUUUUUAAUUACUAUCUAAGCUACCAAAACGACGUCGUUUUACCACAUGGAAUCCAGUUAACAGUGUUACGCAUAACACGUUUUUGCAUUAUUCAGCACGAAAUGAAAUCUGCAGGUACUAAAUUCAAAUUUACAUAAGCUCAGGUAUGAUAUAGCACAACGACAAGUCAACUGUAUGAAAUUAACAUACAUAAAUAGUUGAGGUACGAAAAAUCCCAUUUUCCUAGCGCAGACCAUUCAAAGUCACUAUAUACAGUAAAACCUCUAUAAAUUAAUACUCGAUAAAUUAAUAAUCUCUAUAAAUUGAUAAAUUUCUCCGUACUUGGGACCAGUGUAAUUUUAGACACAUUUCGAUAUAAUAAGAUAAUAAUUUUUCUGAAAAUCCUUUGUAAAUAUAUGGUCCCAUCAAUAUUAUAAAUUAAUAAUUAGGUAAAAUUUUCAAAGUAUAUAUAUAUAUAUAUAGACACAUUAUUUUUUGUUAGAGUUUAUUUAUAGUAUUUUACUAUAUAAAAAUUGUUAGAAUUUUCUUUCAAGACAUAAUAAUAAUUAUUUUCUUUGUUAAUGAUUAUAUAAAAUACUUAUUAUCAUGAUUAAAUUUUAUUUUAAAAUAUUUUUUUGAAAAAACUUUCCAAAUUAGGAAAAGCUCUCUAUAAUUAUUAAUUUAUCGAUAAAUUAAAACCUCUAUAAAUUAAUAGAUUUUCAUGGUCCCAACAUUAUUAAUUUAUAGAGGUUUUUCUGUAUUCUGCUAAUUCUUUGUGGUAACACUUAUCUAAUAUAUUAAAAGAGUAGUCAGCAGGUUCACGUUCGCUCUAAAAAACAGAUUACCUCUUUACCCUUAAUGAAAAAAAAAUUUCGUCUCCAAAAAGCCGACUUUUAUGUUUAAGAUCGAAAACUUUUUAAGCCGGCUUUGUUGGUUUAAACCGAUUUUUUAAAAUUUUGCAGUUUUCGAUUUUAAACCAAACGUAAAAAAAUCUGUCGAAAAUACAACUCCUUACUUCAAACCCUACCGUUUGUAUUCAGCCUCCAUAAUUCCCAUAGAGAGAAAAACGAUUAGCUUAGCUUCUAUCAUAAUUAAAAAAUAUAUAUUUUAAUACUAUUCUUUGUGUUUCAUGUUAUUCAUCAUCAUAUAAUUUUCUUCAAUGUUUGUGUAGUGCUUAUUUAGAAAGCAAUAUAAACAAUUCCUACAUCUUUGUCUAACCUUACUUCACCUUUUGAAUCAGUUAUAUUCUCUAAGUUUAUUUGUUUUAUUUUGGGAAUUUAAUGAAAAAACCCCUCAACAUUGGUGAGAUCAAUUUUUAAACCCUCAACUAUUUUUUUAGUAAAUAAAAUCCUGAACUAAAAACAUUAACAAAUUUAACCCUCCACCUAUAAAAAACCUAAACACCCAUAAUAAUCUCUUCUACGCAAUCAACGUUUGUUUAACUGAAACAAAAAAAGACUAAGCAUUAGUUUUUAAAUACAAAAAUUAACAACAAACCUUCUCUUACGAACCUUUGUUUUCCAUAAACGUUCACACGUCGAUAAUAGAUCGCCAAAAAAACUCUCAAAUCGUGACAUCCUAAAACCUCAAAAUUCCAAAUGUUGAACGGUUAGUGAAAAAGAAACUAAAGUAGGUUGAAUAGGCGAUUGACACAGAGUUAAUCGAGGGUGAGACGCAUAAUUAAAUUUAUUGAUGGAUGACAUUAACUCAUCGAGUCUCCAUUAUAGAGUGAGGUAUUGAGAGAACAUAUGUCUAUUUCAUCUGGUUUACAUUUAUUAUACAACGGUCACCUUUCCUAAUUUCAACAUUUUUAACCUUGUUAAUUUAUAAAAGAAAAUUUAGCGAAAAAGAUAAAUUUUAAAACGGUUGUCAGUUAUACUAUUAAUUAGAAAAAUCCUAAAACUGUUUUAUUGACAUAUUCUUGAGGAGUUAGUUUACUAAUUGUUUUAUGGAAAAAAAAAAUUGUAAAUUAUCAACUUUUAAUAAUGAAAGAAAAUAUUGUGGUUUUGUAGACUUAUUUUGCAUAUUUUAUACCAGAAUAGAAAUAUCGACACCAGCAGAAAAAAGUUAUACAAAGAGUGACGAAUGGCACAGAGUUAUCAGCGUACCGGGUUUGCUGAUAUUGAUUAUUUGUAAGUUUUUAUUUAAUCUCUUUAUUUAAUUCGAUAUAUUAUUUGAUAUUUGUAAUUUUUAAUUUAUAUAAAUAUUCAAGUUUUUGUAAAGUAUAAUAAAAGAUUAAUUAUUAUAAUUUUAUUUUACCAAAAUCAUAGAAAAACAGGAUCCAAAGAAGCAGUUUUUGAGAAACUAAAUAUAAAAAGAGUAAGAGCAACAAAAGAGGUUUGGUACCUUGUGGAAAUUAAACACCAAAUCUAACUCUGUGUUUAAAAAGGCGACGCGCCUAGGCUCGAGGCGAGGUAUGGCUGGGGGUAAGCGCCUCAAACAGCUGAGGCAGGCUAUGACCCAAAGGCUCUCUCUCUGGUGCGCCUUGACGUCUGAUGCGCCUUGCCUUGCUCUGCGCGUGCAAAUAUAAAAGGUAAAUUGCACUCUUCCACGAUAUUUUCUUACUCUAUCUAAACUCAAUAUUCUGUUAUACAAAAUAUUUCCAAAAUUAUUCUUAUUAUAAUUAAGAGAAAUUGAUACCAAUAACCUUUUUAUGAUACCCUCUUUUAAAAAUACCAUCUUUUUUUACCAUUUUCAUUUUUGCCCUCUCUUAAUUUUUAAUGGCUAUUUUACCCCUAUUUGAAAUAAUAUUCUUUCACAAAUGAAGGAAUAUUCCUUCCAAAAAUUUCCCCCCAAAAAUUUCCCGCCAAAAUUUUCCCGCCAAAAAAGUUUCCGAGAAAAAAUUUUCCCGCCAAAAAAUUUCCGCAAAAAUUUUCCCGCAAAAAAAAAAUAUUUUUUCAAAAUUUUCCCGCCAAAUUUUUUUAAAGGGUUUACAAGAUUUUUUAAAGGGUCUUUUAAAGGGUUUACAAGGGUUUUUAAAGGGAUAAACAAGAGUUUUUAAAUGGUUUUUAAAAGAUUUGUAAUGGUUUUUAAAGAGUUUGAGAAGCCUACAAAGGUUUUUAAAUGGUUUUUAAAUGAUUUACAAUGGUUUUUAAAAGUUUUAUAAGUUUAUAACAGUUUUAAAAGGAUUUACAAGAAUUUUUAAAGGAUUUUAAAAAUUUACAAGGAUUUUUAAAGGUUUUCUAAAAGGAUUUACAAGUGUUUUUAAAAGGAUUUAAAAGUAUAUUUAAAGGCAUACAAAGAUUUAAAAAUAGUUUUAAAGGAUUUACAAGAAGUUUUAAAGGGUUUUAGAAGUUUACAAAGGUUUUUGAAGGGUUUAAAAAAGUUUUUAAAGGUAUUACAAGUUCUUUAAAAUGGGUUUUAAGGAUUUACAAGGGUUUUUAACGGGUUUUAGAAGUUUACUAAAGUUUUUUUUAAAUGAUUUAUCAUGGUUAUAAGUGGUUUAAAGGGAUUUACAAGUGUUUAUAAAUGUUAUAAAAUGAUUUACAAUGGUUUUAAAAGGUUUACUCAAGUUUUGAAAGGUUUUGGAUGACUUUUAAAAGAUUUACAAGGGUUUUUACAGGAUUUUUUAAGAGAUUUAUAAAUAUUUACAAGGUUUUUUUAAGAAAUUGCGGAAAAAUUUUGGCGGGAAAAUUUUUUUGGCGGGAAAAUUUUUUGUCGGAAUUUUUUGGCGGGAAAAUUUGGCGGGAAAUUUUUCGGAAGGAAUAUUCUUUUUGUUGGAAAGAAUAUUCCUUUUUUCAUCAUAGGUUAUAAUAAACGAGGGUAAUUUAGUCAUUUUGUACAUUGAAGAGGGUAUUUUUGAAAAUGAACACCUAGAGAGGGUACUUGUAGAAAAGGGUAUCAUAAUAAAGGUUAGUUGUGCAAAUCUCUCUAUAAUUAAUUGUUUAAAAACCUAAAAAAUGAAGUAUAAACGUCUCUUCAGCCUCUUAGUCUCACGAUUCUUCUCUGUUACUCCUCUAGUCUACCUAUUCUCCUUUCAUCAUCUCAUCUCAUCAUGUCUGAUUUAGUUUCCACUAAGGAACUUGAUCCAGCUAGAAAACAUGCAACUCCUGUUGUUGGUAAGCAUGGUAGUUGGAUGUGUAACUACUGCAAAAAAGUAACAAGCGGUGGAGUACAGCGAGCUAAGCAGCAUAUUGUUGGUGGUUAUAGAAAUGUUACUGCAUGUACUAUUUUUUCAGAACAUGUGAGGGAGGAAGUCAGAGAUUUCAUGCAAAAAUAACUUGAAGCUAAAGUCACAACCCAAAUGAUGCCACCACCAGUCAGUGUAUGAUGAGAUUGAGGAAGAAGAAGAUGAAGGGCAGCCUAUUCAGCCACCUUCAAAAAAACGAAAGGGUCCAAUGGACAGGUAUGUUUGUCCAACUCCUCGUGAUAUCUUGAAAGGAAGACAAGAUAGGAAGGAAGUUUAUGGGAAAUCUGAUAAGGAACUUAGGGAUAGAGCAUGUGCAGAGAUUGCUAGGUGGUUUUAUGAUGCAAGCCUACAGUUUAAUGCGGUUACCUUUGAUAGUUUCAAGAAUUUUCUAGAGUUAGUUGGUCAAUAUGGUUCUGGCUUUAAGCCACCAACAAUGUAUGAGCUGCGGGUUCCUUUUCUGAAGAAGGAAGUAAAAGAGACUGAGAAACUGCUGGUCGAGCACAAAACUGAAUGGACAACUAAAGGUUGUUCAAUCAUGUCAGAUGGAUGGCGUGAUUCAGUUGUGCAAAAGGAUAUUAUUAAUUUCCUUGUUAAUUCGCCAAGGGGUUCAGUUUUCAUCAAAUCAGUUGAUGUUUCAACUGUCGUGAAAGAUGCCAAUUUCUUGUUUGAUCAGCUUGAUUGUAUGGUUGAAGAAGUUGGAGAAUCUAAUGUUGUCCAAGUGAUAACUGACAAUGCAUCAAACUACAUAAAAGCUGGUGAGUUUGUUAUAUUUUUUUGGACAAACUUUAAAAUUUCAUUGAAAGAAAAGGUUUAGCCUCCACCAACAGAGGAUACAACAAAGCUACAAAGAGCCCAAACAACCAAAACAACGACCAACAAGGAGAUCGGGUAGGAUGGUAAGUUCAAAUCAACAACAUUGCUCAUAAAGACACUUAUAGAUAAGGGUGAAUCACCGAAAGGAAACAGCGUCUCCUGAGUCAAACAGUCAACAAAAGUUGAACGGUAACCGUCUUGGACAACAAUCCUCGCUUCUGCAAGCAGAACAAUCUUGACAACCAUGCUCCCUAUAACAAUACCACUACACACAAGUGAAGUAUUUGGGAGGAUAAUAAGCUUCUGAAAGGAGAGAUGAGGACUAUAAAAGCCCCGGUGAACCAGAAAAUCUGGAACAAAGAAAGAGAGCAAAGAUCUCUUUUUAAACUGCCAUAAAACGGAUCCUAACAGAGCCACUUCAAGGUAGAGCCUGCAUAUUGCAGUAAAGGUUCGCACUAAGGCGAUAAGAGUGCCACAUGAGAGCACAAAUGUGGAUACAAUGGUAUCCAAAACCAUCAACGAUGUAGAAACUAAAUCCGAAUUCCACAAAACCAGAGCUACACUCUUACCAACCAUCCAGAAACUUCCAAAGGUAGAAGAAACAGGAAGCGAAGAAGAGGAGCAUACCUGGGGGAAUGGGAGAAGAGAUGUGUUGAUUGAGAAUGUCGAGCAAUCAACACUUCUGACAACCAGGCUGAGAAGACGGCGUCGCUUGAUGAGGUGAGGUGGCUGGUGGCAAGGCGUAUCAAGAGAUGGAGUUGUACAGCCCACAACCCAAUAAGAAAGUCUUACUCUUCUGGCCCAAUAAACCAUCAAUCAAAGUUUGGCCCAAUAAGCAUUUUCUCCAAUUGUGGCCCAACAAAGAAACUAGGGUUUCAGUGGUUGAGGAUGGUGGGAUGAGAAGCCAGCUAUGACGGCGGCUUAAACGAAGAGCGGCUAUGAACUAUGGACUCGAAUUCUGGCAAGGAAUAUCAGAUCUCGAGGGCGACAGAGAUAGGGGCAUGGAGCUGUGAAUUCGUCGAAGGCUGAUGGUGAGUUGCAGUGCAUGAGAUUCGUCCAAAGAGGAGUGGAUCUAAGGAUCUGGCGGGUCUGGUGGUUCAGGGGGAGGUUGUGGUGUCGAAGACUCAGGCGGUGGUGGAGGUGGUGCUGGAGGAGAUCUCAAACCAUGGAAAGGAACCGAAGACAACGGUAAACAACAAGAGAAGCUCGAAAACGGUGGAGAGAAGGGACUCAUAUCAAGAAGGAAACUCGCUGGACACCGCCACGUAACCGAAACAGAGGUCCACUUGAGAGAAUAACCCUUAGACAGAAUUGCAGAGUCAGAAAAAGAGAUCGAUGGUGGAAGAACGCCAGUGAAAAGAGCUCAUCUCGUCAAUCUUCAAGUCUUCUUGGUCUUCGUGCCUGGGAGAGUUCUUCAACGCGCGAAUGUAACAAUUGAGUUUGUUAAAUAUUUAGCUUUAUAAGGUUUUUUUUUGCUUCUUCUAAUUUGUGCAUAAUCUUAAACUGAUUUGUGUUUUCUAAUUCUUGUAGGCAAAUUACUAAUGGCGAAACGACCAUAUCUGUAUUGGCUUCCUUGUGCUGCCCACUGCAUAGAUCUCAUGUUGGAGGAUAUAGGAAAGAUUUCGUCGGUGAAGGCUGCAAUCACGAACUGCAUCUUCAUGAAUGGCUACAUCUACAGCCACACUUCUAUGGUGAAUAUGAUGCGGAAGUUCACAAACCAAGGAAACUUACAUAGACCAGCAGCAGUUACUCGGUUUGCUACAUCUUUCAUCACACUCUCGCAAUAUCACCGGCAGAGGAAGAACUUGAGGAGUUUUGUAACUUCUCAGGAAUGGAAUGAUUCCAAAUGGCCAAAGGACAUAGGAGCAAGGAACGUGAAAAAGUUCAUUAUGCAAGACAGGUUGUGGCAUCACGUGUUGUAUGCACUCAAGUUGACGGGACUUCUAGUUAAGGUGCUUCGGUUGGUCGACGGUGAGAAAAAACCAGCUAUGGGGUACAUCUAUGAAGCAACGGAUAGGGCUAGAUUCUAGCUCACAGACAUUGCUGAAGAAAUGGUCCAAAAUCUCCACAAACAAAUGGAUACUCUCCAGGUAAGCCAACUCAUUAUUGGUUAUAUCCACGCACACGGAGAAAAACAAUCCAGCAUAACGCUUGUAUAUCACCUUGUGUGUUCUAAAAUGAAAAUAAUUGCAGAACAGUUUUCUCCUUCUAGCUCACAGAACAAUAUUGGUUUCUUAAUCACAUUUUCAUGUCUCAUAAGACACAUAUCUACUUCUCUAUACAGAUAUUGAAUGAGUUGGGUUACUUCUACCUCAGCUUAUAACAACAUCUCAAACAACAACUAAUACCUCAACCAGAGAAACUUCGCAGAUUCGAAUUCGACAGAGCAAUGCUCCUAUAAUGUGCUAGUAUCAACAGCCCAUCUCAAACAACAACUAAUACCUCAACCAGAGAAACUUCGCAGAUUCGAAUUCGACAGAGCAAUGCUCCUAUACUGUGCUAGUAUCAACAGCCCUAAAUCUCAUAUACAAAACCUGAAUUAAGAAUCAUAUGCAUUCCUACAAUCUUGGUUCUUACUCACAUAAUUUUCAUGUCUCAUUAAGGUUUUUUCAAGUUCUCUAUAAAGAUCUUAAUACUAGAAAACUCAGCUCCAAUGCCUCAAUUGAAAAAAAAAAUUCAUAAUAUCUACAAAAGCAAUGAUUUUUUCAAGCAAAUCUACCAUAUAGUCUCUGGAGAACCCUAAUCUUUUAUGUUUAAGAUUGAAAACUUUUAAACCAAAAUCGGCUUGGUUGGGUUAAACCGAUCUUUCUAGAAUUUUAAGUUUUCGAUUUUGAACCAAACGUACGUAAAAAAGUCCGUCGAAAAUACAACUUCUUACUUGAAAUCCUACCGUUUGUGUUCAGCCUCCAUAACUCCAUAGAGAGAAAAACGAUUAGCUUAGCUUCUAUCAUGAUUAAAAAUUUAUAUUUGAAUACUAAUCUUUGUGUUCAUGUUAUUCAUCAUCGUAUAAUUUUUCUAUCAUGUUCGUGUAGUGCUUAUUUAGAAAGCAAGAUAAACAAUUCCUACAGCUUUGUCUAACCUUAUUUCACCUUUUGAAUCAGUUAUAUUCUCUAAGUUUAUUUGUUUUAUUUUCAUUGGAAUAACUUUCUAAGUAUUACGUUUGCUAAUUAUUGAACAUGAUCUUAUAAAAGUCGUUACGUUGGGCUUGGAAAACAUGAAAAUAUCCUGUAAACUUAAAAUAUCAUGUGGCGCCAAUAAAUAAUUAUAUAAGUACUGUAUGUAGCUUGGAAAACAUCAACAACUCACAUUGAAUAACACAAAUCAGUAUGAAAGAGUUCGAUGUUAGGUCCGAUUUGUUUUCAACAUAUUUAAACUUUUCAAAUUUUGUAUGUUAUAACUUUUUCCAAAAUUUGUAUGUUAUUACUUUUCAAAAUCAAAAUAACUUUACUUAAAUUAUAAAAAACCUUAAACCUAAGCGUUAAAUUUUUUACAAUACGUGAUAACAUGUUUAACUUACACACCACUGACGGACCACAAAGGGACUGGAUGCUCGGCCCGAUUUGUUUUCAAAGUAUUAAAAUUUAACACUUAGAUUCAACCAAAAAAAAAUCAUAUUUAGUUAUUAAAAAUUAAAACUAUUUUUACUUGAAAUUUGAUUUAAAAAACCUUGAUAUUUAGUUGUAAAUCAGGAAAAUAGAAAUGAAAGAAACAUAAAAUCUUUUUUUUUAUGUAUCUUUUUAUAUCGAAAUCAAGUUUUCUUAAUUUAUUUAUUUAUAAAAAAGUUAGAAAAGUUGAGAUAUUACCUGUGAUAUUUAAGAAUCCUGAAGGCUACAGCGACUCAGACGGUGGUCGUUUCUGAAUUUUGCUAAACGUAAUACAAAAACAAACCCAUCAGCGCAUUUCAUAAUCGUCAAAAAAUCAAAUUACUUUGAUAAAACUAAAGACAACUAUCACGAACCUGCUAAUAUAAUACCUCUGUUCCUCUCUUCAAUAUAUAUAUAAAUCCUCUUAUAAAUAUUCUCCUAGUCUCUAAUGACUGAAGAAAACAGAGGAUCGAUGGAGAUCACCAUAGAACCUUGACUCUCCACCCUGAAACUAAAACAUAAUCAAGUACAAAUCUUCAUUAUCAAAGACUACUGAAUACACAAAAGCAUAACACUCAGUACAAAACAAAGAGAUGAAUAAUAUAUAUGAUACGUGAAUCACAUGUAUGAUGAUGAACUAAAAAGUACACAAAAUGGCUUGCAUCUGCAUCAAUCCAAAAUCGUAUAUGCAUAUACACACACCUAUGAGAUUCAGUUCUUGUAAGUUGCAGACAGGUAAUAAUAAUUCUAUAUGUGGUCGAGAAGCAAUAUGAGCUCAGUAGUAAUAAAAUAAAACAAUGCCAAUGGAAACUCGCAAAUCAAAUCAG
Molecule: long non-coding RNA, 87811 nt
Filed under: Capsella rubella
Lineage: Eukaryota; Viridiplantae; Streptophyta; Magnoliopsida; Brassicales; Brassicaceae
Description: long non-coding RNA (CRUB_LNC005120)
Source: RNAcentral